GGGCCAGAGGGGGUCUCCUUAUAUAGUCCUCCCCUUCUAUGCGUUUUUGGGUCGAUAGGCGAGGUGGUACUAUGUUAUUCUGGAUCCAAUAGGUCGGUGGAACGUCGUGUGCGAAGAGAGUCCGGAACGGAGUCCAGAGGGGGGCGGGCGCCCAGGUCCUCAGGGCGGGCGCCCUGGGCCUGGCCCCUUUCGGGCUCCGCUUCCUUCCCGUGGCUUCUGGAGUCUUCUAGAUGGUAGAAAAUUGCACGGUGGGUUGAUAUCUCUAUGUAAUCCCGACAUGUGGGCUUUUCUUCCUUAUUUCCUGAUAACCCCCUGCAGAAAUAGACAAACACCAAAAAUCGUGGAAUUCUGUCAGAUAAAACCCUAAGUCUAGAUGUUGAUUUCAUUUGGAUCCUUUUCUUUGUUUAUUUGAUAAUUAAAUUUGAUACUUAAGGACCGUCAACAAACUCCCCCAAGCUUACCUCUUGCUCGUCCCUGAGCAAGGAUGAACUCAAGAGUUUCUGCAGUGGUUUCAUUUCUUAGAAGUACACACGCAUUUAAGCAAGAUCUCAUCUCUGAGUUAGAAUAAACUGUUAAGACUUAAAACUUACUUACUUUACCUACACCAUAGGACUUGUAACCGUCACUUCUGUCUUGAGUGGUUAAAAGAUAGAACAGUCUAGCCAAGUGCCAUGUCUCUUAUUCUUGAUCAGCUAUAGCUCUGGGGUUUUUGCAGACUUUCAAAUAAAACUCAGAAAUUCCUUGUAUGAUUCUCUCAGGUCUCUCUUUUGUGGUAUUUUUGGAUCCUUACCAAGGCAGUGAUGGUAUAUGCCUUCUCUCAAGAUAUGUAGUAUUUGUGGUAUGAAGCAUAGUGACAUUGUCUUCUCUCUCACCCUACUCUAAUAAGGCUUUAAUAUCUGGAGCUCAUAGGUGGGAGAUAAAGUAUACAUACUUACAAGACAUUUAUUACAUAGUCAAACCAUGGAUCCAAAGAAACAAAUCAAUAAGCCAAAUCAAGAUGUGCAUGUGUGGCGAAUGAAUGGUGUAUGGUGAUGAUGGUGAUAACAAUUGUGGUGGAAGUCUAAUUCUACUUUGCUCUUUGAGGGGAUACGUACCUUCCUUGCUUUUGAAACUUUAUGAGGAGAAUGAGAUGCUCUUCUUUUUCUUUUCUUUCGAGGUUCCGAGCACUUGCUCCUUUUUAUUUCCUCGUAUCUUUUAUUUUCUUUUUCUCUCUUUUUUUUCAGAGCAUUCAUCUCUUGAGAUAAUAUAGCAAGUGGUAGUAACAUGAUAACUUGAGCAUUUAUUUCACAAGGGGAAACAGAAAUAUUUUUGGUUAUUCUCUCCCGGAUUAGGAGUAGAAUACUUUUGGGUGGUUUUGGAGAUGGAAAUGAGUGGAUAUAUGUGGAUGGUACUUCCGGAGUAGAAGUAGCAUGUAUGAGUGAACGUGCAAGUGAAUCUUGAAUUAACCACAUGACAAGCUCCUAAGGGUCUACACAGCUUGACCACACUCAAUGCUCAUAAGCAGUAAAAAGUAAAUGUGUGGCUCAAAGUCUAGCAAGCAUGUAUAUAUGGCUGUGGUAGGAAUUUAAACUCUCAUCAUACAGGAACUCAUCAUGUGUUAUUUUAAAGAUUUUUCAAAGAUAAAAUUCUCCAGAAUUCUAUCAUCUCUAGGAACAGAUGAACAGCAGCUCAACCUUCCCAUAUCGUAUCCGUUAACAACUUAGACUUCAGAUCAAGUUUUCAUCCCACAAGUUUAGGUCUAGAGCAAGCCUUAAAUUAUAACAGUUAUAUCUAAACUUGAGAGAGAACUUCAAAUUUGCAAAUUAGGCAGAGCAACUAUUCAUCAUAUCCAUGCUUAAGUUUUAUUAGAUACAGAUUAGCAUAGCCACUUUAUUUAUUUAUUAAACACACUAAGCAAAAUAUAUAUAAGCAUAAAAUCUUUAUUUGGUUUUUCAUAGUUAUGUGUAUUUAUAUUCUAAUAUAGUAUAAGUAUAAAGAUAGAUAGAAAUACUUAUCGAGAUAAAUGGGGGUGCUCUCCCCCAAGCUAAAUUUUGACGUAAUUUCUCUUGAUGUAGUUAGCAGGUGGCAGAGGUGUACUUGAAAGUCAACAGCAUUCUGACAGCGAUUAAAAUGUCCUCCGUCUGCUAGUCUUCUUGAUUCUUAAAUCCUGUGGAGCUCAAAUAGACAACAAAGCUUUGUGGAACUGAUUAAGUGUUAGCAUAAAUAUCUAGCCUUUAUCAUGUUGAGCCUCCUCAAUAAAUGUUAUUUAUUUAGCAGGAUCAUGCACUUAUUAUUUUUAUAUUUUUUUAUUGUAAAAUGAAAACUUAUUUAUUUUAUUUUUAUGCCACCACAGUGAAUGUACUUAUGGGUUUUAUGCCAUGAGCAUACUCACAUGGGGCUUACUAUUUUUUUAACAUUUUUUUAUUUUCUUUUCAAGAUAACAUGAACCUGAUUAACUAAGCAAACUAUAAUUGAAUAAUUGAAAGGAAAAGGAUAACUACCAAGUUUACCUCUUGGCAAGGCGUUCGGUGUUUUUAAGUCCUUCGAACGGGACUCCUUGUGUUUUCAGUCGUCCUGGGAUUUGCUAGGUGGCGUAGUCGGUGAUUCCGGCGGCGCCUCCUCUUCGUGUGUAACUAUAUUCUCUCUCCACACCUGACUCGGUGCUAUGGUCUCCUCAGGACAGUUAUGUUCAAGUGGUAUGUCUUCAGUCCUUAUCACUUCUCCUUCGUAGUCUACCCAUCCGUCAUUGAUGAUUUGCCUCCUCUGGUUGCGGUUGCGAUGUCUUCUUCUUGUCCUGACCUGCUUAGAGUCUUCAACUAUAUAGUUAGGGUCAGUAAAACAGCGGCAUACCUUCUUAGAGGAGAAGUGUAUGUGGACUUCUCCGGUUCCAAUAUAGAUGAUGGCUUUGAUAGUGCUGAGGAACUGUCUUCCAAGGAUGGUGGGUGGAUCAUAUUCAUCUUCUCCCAUGUCAAUAACUUGAAAAUCAUCUAUAGCUGAAUGUAUAUUGGUUGUAGGGGCAUGGUUUCAUGCAGGAGCUGAUAAGUGACUACGGCCAUUAUGUUGUCGUUUGAUCCGAUGUCGUAGAGUGUCUUCUGAAAAGAGUAUCUAUUGAUUGUGCACUUGAUUCUUGGAACACCAGGGUCGUCCUUCUUGAUCAAGAAAGGUGACUUGAGUCGACGAUCUUGACCUCCUUGAGCUGUAGUGACCAUCUUAGCUGACUCGGUCCACAUUUGCUUGUUCCUGUUCCUCCUAUUGGUCCUCUUCCUUGGUUCAUGUCAGGAUUGCUCUGAAGUUUGUGUAGUAUUAUUCUUGAAGGAAAGUCUCCUUCUUCCCCUUGAUGUAGAGACUGAUCUUGGCAACAUUAGCGUAGAUUAUAGCUCUAGUGUUUAGGAAUGGCCUCCCUAAUAUGAUGGGUGCCCUCUCCUCAGUACCAGUCUCUAUCACCACGAAGUCUGCUAGAGCGUACAAGGUACCAACUUGGACGUAGAGGUUCUUCAAUAUUUCCUUUGGGAAACUGAGUGUCCGAUCUGCAACCCGGGGCAUAAUGUUGACGCUGGAGCCAAAGUCGCAGAGUGUUUCUGGGAAGUCCACCAUGCCGAUGGAGAUCGGGAUGACGGGACGUCCUAGAUCACCUCUCUGAGUAAUUAGGCCUCUGUUGAUUCCAACCUUGAUGUUGUUGAGGACGGUUGUAGUAAUAGUUGUUAUUGUUGUUGAUGUAGUUCACGUCCUCAAGCAUCUUAGGGCAGUGAUUGCCUGAGCGUCCAGUAUCUCCAGUGUGUUUGUGCUCGUAGAUCCUAGUUCUUCACUUGGUGGAAUCUGGGAGUUGUAAAACUCCUUCAUAUUAUGCUCGAAGUGUUCCUGCUCAUAGAGACAAGGUAGAGAUCAAGUGCAUGGGCCCUGUUGGUGGAAAACACCAACAGAACCAAAAGUGUAUUUGUUCUUCUCUAACCCUAAGCAUAGUGAGCAAGACAAAGUUGAUGGAUCAUGAGUGUAGCAUUUGUCGAUCAGAUGGCUCAACCUAAUGGAAAGAUAAUCUAUCUAUAUUUAUGUUUUGUUUAUAUCUUCCAAAGAUUGAAUGUGCAAUACUUUAGCUUAUAUGAUUAGGAGUGUGGGAUCACGAAGGUAGUACUAAGAACAAAGAUUAAAGGACUAAUCAUGUUGAAUUAAUUGGGUUGGUUAAUUUGGAGUUAUAAAUCAUACAUGUUUGUCUCUUUAUUUAUGUGAAUGCUAGAACCAAGGAGAAGCUUAUAAAAGUGUUAGUCAAGUACCUUAAUAUGUUACCUUACUUGAAGAGUGAUGGUAGAAUAUCACCUUGUGGAAGCUUUCCUUUCUUAGCGGUUGUGCAUCGUGUUUGUGGCACCCUCCAUGAAUCAUCUCUGAUGAGCUACGUCUUUCUUGUGCAAAUUGUUAAACUUCAUGUGUCACUUUCUUCAUCUCUAAUGAGUUUGCAUCUCAGGACUUCCCAGGUUGUUAUUGAAAGUUUUCCUACAGGGGUUAGUCCAACAAAAUAUACCAAUAUCUACUCAAGCAGUUUUUAGUUCAGUAACCAAACUAGACUCUAUGUCUAAUCAGAUUAAGGAAGGCUAUUUAACCUAAGCACCACGCUUAAUUUAAAUGCCAUUGGAAGUGUGACCAGUACUUCCAAACUAACACUUACUAGGAUAAACAAAGGUAGCAUGAUGGCUUUUAUAGAGAUCUACUCAAGUGGAGAUGAAGUAGUGUGAUUAGUAUUUAACAAAUUGAGCAUGUCUCAAAGGUAAGGACAACCAACAUAGCAACAUGGCAAAGGAUGUUUUAUGUAAAGUACUCCCCCAAGCUUGAAUUUUGCAAAAUUCAAGAUUGGAUGAAUUUAAUUUAAUGUUGCAUGAUGAUUGGUUGGGCAUACCUUGCGCUUGUCAUUCAUCCGAUCUUCUUGCUCCAAUCCUAGAAAGGUUAGUGGCAAGAAUACCCGAAGGAAUAUUUCUACAAUUAUCUUUAUAUGCUCAAUACACAAGGCAAUGUUGCAAAUAAUUAGAAGUGCUUGUUUUAGGACACUAAGCUUGUCCUUAGGGAACCAUCAAUUAACUCAACGAGAUCUGCAAUAUUUAUUAUAGACAUAUGCAUCGACAACCGCCGUUUUAAAGUUUUUAUAAAUAGAAAAGAAGAGGGGGUUGGAGAUCUCAAAUGUGGUAAGGAUGGAGAGACAAAUUGAUUGGAGAGAUGUUUUAUAUGAGCAAGGACUGGGUGAGGUAUUUAUGAAAUAACUUCCAUGCUCACUGUUGUUUCUCUCAUUCCCAAACUCCAAGGAUGAUUCUUCAUGAAUGUUUAAAAUUCCUCUAGGAUUGUCUCUCAAGUUUGUUUUAUCUAUCCAUUCAAUGGUGAUAGCACAUGGAUUUUUAAUGCCCUCUAGCCAUUGAUGUUGCUCUUCUUGAUCCUCCUUCUUAUGCAUGGGAUGUCUAGAUAGAUUCAUAGGAUUAUCGGGAGGUUCAAGAGAGUAGAAAUUAUUAAGCUCAAGGAUGGGAUGGAUAGUCGAAUCAUGGGAUUGGAAUGUUUGGAAAUCGGCUAUUGAAACUUCCUUUCCUCGUCUAGGAGAUGAUUCCUUCUCUAUCUCUAGGAUUUUUCUAUGAAGACUAGUACAAGAAGGAUGUCCACAAAUGAAGACAUACCUUCCUUUACUAAUAGAUAAAGAAAGAAAGACUCUACCAAAUGUUAUAUGAUUAAGACCAAUGUGAAAAUAUCUAGGAAAAACAUGGUCUUGUAGGGCUAGGUCUAAACCAGAAUUUAUAGAAAGAUUAACAGAUUCCCUAGGUGUAGCUAAAAGUGCAUUAUCUUCUUGAUUAAAAGAUAGGACCUCAGCUAUAGAAAAGGGUUGGUUUUGACCUAUUGCAAUCAACUCCGGACACAGAUCAUAAUUAGGGGCAGGACGUGUUGACUCCCAUGGUCUAUGGCUGGUCUCCGAAGGUGCAAAGAAUUUAAUAAUAGGUAUGGAAUUUGAGUUAUCCAUAAAGAUAAAAAUAAAAAGAUAAAAGAAUAAAAGUAUAAUACAAGAUAAUAGCAAGACUCAAAGUUAUCUCAGCAAACCGUCUUUCUCCCCGGCAAGGGCGCCAGAAAUGCUUGUUGAUAUUUGGUAACACAAUAAGGAAAUGAUCCGCAAGCGCACGGAUAUCGGUGAGCAUUUCACCUGGGAGGUUAUACAGAGUUAUCGUAUUUAUAUUUUUACCACUGGGAGAAAGGGUGCAUCUGACUAACCAAAUCUAUUGCUACUAUCCCUUUAGGCUACAAAGAAUGUCUCUCGAUGUGAGUGAUGUAUAGAGAAGACUGCAACCGUAGUCUCGUUCUAACCUUGGUAAGGAUGAUCUACUGUUCUUUUGGGGAGGCUCACGGAAUCUAGACAACACAAAGGAUGUUCGACCCGCACCUAUAACCCUACCCGUCCUGCUAACGAGAUGUGAUCUGCAAAGGUAACUCGGAAUUGUCACGUUCCUCGCUACUACCACGGUCCAGCUAGUCAGGGGAUAUCUAUGAGUACCCUAGCCUAAACACCACGUUUACGCUAACAAGUGAUUACUCUAAUACUCAAUCGGAAGAGGAUUAAAGUAAACUCAUAAACCAAAGAACAAUAAAACAAGAACUUACUAGUAUUAGAAGUCGAAUUACUGAAGAAUCUUAGAAGCAAGCCUCGGGUUAGGAGACUUGAUCCCGCAGGUACAACUCGGAGUAGACACCGACAGGCCGGCCUUCGUCCGAUCUACACCUCCACUCUAUCUCUCUCAAUCUAGUAGAAACUAGAAGAUCUAUUUCUACUUUACAUUGGUUGCUAAGCCUAAAAAGAAAUAUUAUUUAGAGAAGAGGUUUUCCUUCGAGGGCACCCCUCAAUCUCUAUGAUAAUUUCUUGUCUCCUCCAGGGGCCAGAGGGGGUCUCCUUAUAUAGUCCUCCCCUUCUAUGCGUUUUGGGUCGAUAGGCGAGGUGGUACUAUGUUAUUCUGGAUCCAAUAGGUCGGUGGAACGUCGUGUGCGAAGAGAGUCCGGAACGGAGUCCAGAGGGGGGCGGGCGCCGAGGUCCUCAGGGCGGGCGCCGUGGGCCUGGCCCCUUUCGGGCUCCGCUUCCUUCCCGUGGCUUCUGGAGUCUUCUAGAUGGUAGAAAAUUGCACGGUGGGUUGAUAUCUCUAUGUAAUCCCGACAUGUGGGCCUUUCUUCCUUAUUUCCUGAUAACCCCCUGCAGAAAUAGACAAACACCGAAACUCGUGGAAUUCUGUCAGAUAAAACCCUAAGUCUAGAUGUUGAUUUCAUUUGGAUCCUUUUCUUUGUUUAUUUGAUAAUUAAAUUUGAUACUUAAGGACCGUCAACACCCACGUAGUAUUCUUCUCCUUUGUAGCGUAGAACCACUGCUUCGCUCUCCCUAACAGUGAGAAUGGGAAAAGGCGAAGUAGUAUAGCAUCUCUGGGGACUCCUGAUAUGGUGAAUGUGCUGCAAAUCUCUAGGAAGUGUUGGAGAUGAGCACUAGCAUCUUCGUGUGCCUUCCCACAGAACUAGUUGGAUUGCACCAUGUUGAUCAGUCCAGGCUUGAGCUCAAAGUUGCCAUCGAUCUCUGCAGCAGGUCCAGUGCGGAUGUUGUCCGUAGUGGGAGCUGAGAACUCGCGGAUUGAUUUGUUCGCCAUGGCUUCAAAUUCUGAAGACAAGUUCCGGUGAUCUUCUUGAUUGAAAGAAGCUUCUUGCUGAAGUGUUGAUAAUCUCUUCUUGAGCUUGGCUCUUGUUUUUCUAAAUAGUGCUUCGGGAUUGUCAACAAAAUUUCCUGGAAGAUGUCUUCUAUUCAUACAUUACCCUACAUAAGAUGAAAUAGAAAAAUAUCGGGGUAAAACUGUAUGAGAGAAUUGAUAAGCUCAAUCAUAUUAGUGAUGCGAAUAAUAACUCAAAAUCCUGUAUUCAUUCCUGAUUAGUAAUCAACCUCCCCGGCAACAGCGCCAAAAAUGCUUGUUGGGUAUUCUUAACAUCAUUACCAAAAGUAGACUUAGUUUUCUAAUUCUGAUAACAGUGCCAAAAAUGCCAAACCUAUCCCUCAUACCACUUAAGCCAAGUUGUCAUCCCCAGCAUGACAUAAGAGACGCGGUAUUGAAAUAUGCAAUUGCUCUUCUAAAUAAAUAAUGAAUGGGAUCUGCAAGCGCACAGAUUAAUACCGAUGUAGCAUUUUAACCGUGAAGUAUUCCAGGUAUCGUUAUUUAUAAUUUUACCACUGGGAAGGGAUUAGCAACCAUCAAUGUUGAUUAUAGAUUGAAAUAUGAGAUUGAGUAUCUAUCAUUGCAUGUAUAAUUGAUAACAUUUAUCUAACUCUUUCAUACAGGGUUAAGUGUCACAUAAAAGAUAUAUGAAGUAAUGAAUAGUGACAAAGAUAAUUAAUCUGAUCAGCAUAACUUAGCCACAUAAUAAAUAUGAUAAGCUCCUCAAUUAGAUACUCUAGCAAGUCAUUAGCAUGGUAUUAGGACGAACUACAAGAAUAUUUCCUAAGUUAUUGUCAACUAUAUAGUCUAGCAUAUCAUAGUUAGUGCAAUUAUACUUAGCAAUCAUUGAGACAAGAUUACGCCCAUGCAUAGUGAUACUAUCAAGGUAAAUGAGAAACAUAGCAAUCACUCCCCUGUAAUAAUGUUGCUCUGCCAGCCCUAUACACGAGAGGAGGACUAUAUAAGAAUCAUUGAAGCUGUCACUAUCACGAACUACCCCAUGAUCUAGCAUAUAGGGUACAAUCGUAGAUAAAUACGGUAUAAGCACCACGCCUACACAAUAUCUAUCAUUUACCCAUGGAUCCGAUGGAUAAACACUAUACGAUCCUAAACAUGUAUAUAAUUCCAAUCUAACUAAUCCAAGUAUAUAACUAUGAUAAACUAAGGACAAUAUAAUUGCAAAUAUAAACAAGUAGAGCAAAGUCAUAAUAAAUAUAUUGAAGUAGAACAAAGUCAUAUUAAUAAUAUUGAAGAACAAAGAUGAACAAUUAGAAGAACAAUUAGAGAAUUACCAAGAAUCCUCUUGACAGAUCCGGAAACCAAUCGAAGAUUGACUCCUUCUAGUUCUAAUCCUAUGUAGCUAUGCUAAUCUAGAUGUCUAAUUGAUGUGGUGGCUCUAGGCUUGAUCAGAGGCUUCUUCUCCCUUGAUGAAUAAUGAAUUAGGGUUGAGAGCUCUUCUCCUCCAGGGGCCAGGGGGUCUGGUUUUAUAGUCCUUCCAAGUGAAUAUGGGCCGUUGGAUCAAACCGACAUUGAUGGAAUGGUAAUCGUUGAUCCUUUAGGUCGGUGGACCGUAAUCUCGAAAGAGAGUCCUGAUUGGACUCUAGAGGUGGGCGGGCGCCCUGGUCCUGAGGGCGGGCGCCCUAGGCCAGGCCCCGUUCUACCUCCGCAUCGUUCCCGUGACUUCUGGAAUCUUCUAGAUGUAAGAUAAUUGCGCGGCUUGUUAAUAUCUCUAUGUAAUCCCGACGUGUGGGCCUUUCUUCCGUAUUUCCUGAUAACCCCCUACAGAAAUAGACAAACACCAAAACUCAUGGAAUUCUGUCAGAUAAAACCCUAAGUCUGGAUGUUGAUUUCAUUUGGAUCCUUUUCUUUGUUUAUUUGAUAAUUAAAUUUGAUACUUAAGGAGCGUCAACAAACCCCACAAGAGUAUAUGUGCAGAAAUGAAAGUCUAAUCUUCUAUACUCAAGCUAGGUACUCCGAUAUAUAUCCCCGAACAUAUAUCGCAGCAUGCUACACAUUUGGAAUACACCCACAUAUACAUCAAACAUGUAUGCGUGGCUGCACCUACUACCCACAAUUAUGUACCUUCAUAUAUACAUGUGUGCAACAUGUAAAUAUUCCACUAACCACAGCUAACAUUCCCCUAGACCGACAGUUGGACGGUCAUGCUCUCACAGCUCAUUACCGCAGCGUAGAGGCAUAUAGAUCACUACAAGAAUCUUGUGAUUUUUUGACUUUCUAUUUAUGUCAUUACAUAUGAAAAUAAUGUCACAACAUAAGAGUUGUGACAAUUAGUUGAUAAAAAACUAUAUGUCAAAAAAUCACUGUCAUAAAUGGAUCAUGUGACAUCUGUAUAUUCUUUGUCAUAAGGUAUGACAUUGGUUAUUUGUCAUAAUAUCUGAGACCAUGAGCCAUUAGAAUGAUGCGUCCAGCCAAAACGCGUCACUGAUGAACCUUUAUGAGUGACCCGUUGAGUCUAUACGCGUCACUGAUGAGCCUUUAUGAGUGACCCGUUUAGUCUAUACACGUCACUAAUAACUCCUUAACAGUGACGCAUACAGGGAAGACGCGUCUAUGAUAACAGAUAUAAAAAAUAAAAAAAGAUAAAAUUUAGAUCACUGAUUUUAUAUACAGCAAAAUAGCAAACAAAUCCACACUUUUUCAAACAAGAUCCACUCAUUUAAUACAAGAUUCACAAUCUCAAUUCCAUCCAAAUAGGCCAAUAGGGUUGCGAAAAAAGACUACACUGUGCCAGGACUGUAGAGAAAUCUAGAUUUAGAGUUUUGCAGACUACUGCCAUGCCGCUGUGAAGGUGCCAACGUUCUUGCCGGAGUCCUAGUAGCCCAACAUCUCGUAGUAAUUUUGGAUCUGCAACAAUUACAAACUAUCAGUAGUUUCCAUGCAGGUCAAUUUUGCUCGAUAUAACAUAUUCACAAAUCACUACUGUGUAAAGUUCAUAAUAUGUGUCAUCAAGCAGGUCCUAGCCAUUAACUCUUCCAAGUUCUAUAAUAGACAUCAGUUGCAACCUCUUCCACUAUGGCUUGCGAACUGUUCCCAGAGACAACUACAAAUAGUAAGUUAAAAAUUCCAGCUACCUGGGAGAGCAUCAUCUAACUGGACCAUUUCCUUCUCUUCCAGCAGCCCAGUCUUUCAUAGCACUAUAUGUAAAAUUGUAGUCUACCUGAGAUAUAGCACGAUCUGCAUCAGAUUAACAUUUAAAAAAUGACAAUACCAGAUCACAUAUUCCAUACCUCAAAAUGACAAUAAAUAGCAACUUGCCUGACUGUUGGGCAGUAAUAGAAAAGGCAAAUCAAGAGAAAAGGCACAUGCCGCUACUUGCUACACUACCUGUAUAAGUGAACAAUACAAAGAAGUGUCAUAACCUUGGAUAAGUGAGUCUUAAUUACAUCAGCAAAAUAAUUGAUACACAUUGACAUCAAAAUACACAGAUCAUGUAUUAAUCCUUGGAAAUUUUCUUUACAUGGUUAAGCCAAAUUAGCCUCUCAGGUUACCACACGCACACACUUACACCAUUGACAUCAAAAUAUUCAAGCUGAAAGAAAAAUCUGAGCCAACAUGAGAAGAACCAGUGCCCUAUAUAUGAGGAGAAAUAUUAGUUAGAUUGGUAGAGGGUAGUAGUAGUAGUAGUAAUUUUUCAGAUGCUAACAGCAGCCAAUAGGUAAACACAUUCAGUUUUAGUCCAGUAGCUAUGCAAGAACAUGCAGUAAUUAUAGGUAAACACAUUCAGUUUCAGUCCAGUAGCUAUGCAAGAACAGGAAGUAAUUAUAAGUGCAUGAGAAUCGCAUUGGUUAAAAAUCCAUUUUGAGAAUAGCAUUCUCACUUACCUUUUAAACUGAGUGUCAUACUGCAUGCAAGAGACAAUAGAUAUAUUGUAAAUGAGGAUAGGAAAAAUCUGCACGAAGUUUUAGUUUAACACUUUGACUAGACCAACAACAGAUCUUGCACCAAACUAGAUUGAGUAAAAAUAAGUUUAUACAAAGAUGACCAGCACUCAUUAUCACAAAAUCCUUCCUCGUCAAAAAUUGAAGACUUGCAAUAGCAGACAUGCAUCAGCAGGGUUCUUCAUCCCCAUGUUUAGCUUGCAUUAAACAUUGUACCAACAAAAAUUCAUGAUGCAUCCUGAAACUCAUGAUAAUGGUCUUGCAAAAUUUCUGGCAUUCUAAACAUUUAAAACCUUAAGAGGUGCAUUCUAAACAUUUAAAACCUUAAGAGUAUGACGUAUCUAUUUGUACAUCUCAAAAAGAACUCUCAGCCUUCUCACAACAUAUUGAGCAACAAUAUAAUUAGAAAAAUAAUUUAUAAAUAUUCAACUGAGAAUAAUCCAUCCAGAAAUUAAUGUAUGAAGAACUGCUCACCUAUAUAGUGUUAUUGAGUAGUGUUAUAAUCUGCAGUACAGAACCAAAACACAAAGCAGUAUAUAUUAAAUAAAUUUAUAGACUCACAAAUGGUCAGAUAAAUUCAGUAGCAACACCUCCUCAUCUGCAGCGCCAUCGACCUUCCAUGUGGUGCGGUCCCUAGUGAUCUUCCUUUCCUCAAGCAGCUCUAGGGUUCCAGGCGAUUUCCCCCAUAAACCAAACCUAGAUCAGGAGGAACAACCUGUGAUCUACAAGAAAAGUAGGAAGGGGAAGAAAUUAAAUUAGACCUCAGAUCUAGAUUUGGAAUGAAAAAAAGGGAGGAAACAAACAACCUGUCUCCGGCUCUCCGCAGAUUCUCCACCGACAUGGAUCAGCGUCGCGGCUCUCCGGCUGGGCCUCCUUGUCACAGGCUCCUUUGGACGCGGAACUUGGGGAUAGAUCCACGUUCACGGGCUUCUUCGACGAUGGAUCUUGGGGACAGUGGCAGGAUUGAGGCACUAGCCGGCCUUGAACGAGAGGAGGGAGCGCUGUCUUGGGGUAGGAGCGGAAGCUGAGGUAGAGGAGCGGAGGACGGGAGAGAGAAGCCCGAGUAGACAGAGGCGGCACGCCGCAUGCGAGCGCGCAACGCGGAGGGAGAUGGGCGGCGCCAGGAAGGCGGGCAUGCGUGCAAGUGUGCGGCGCGGAGGGAGGGAGAUGGGCAGCGCUGGGUUGUGUGGUGGGUGGGGCACUGGGGCAUGCGGGGAUAAGGUUGAAGGGCUCUCCUUUUUCUUUUUUUAUUCUAAUAAACUGGACGCAAUUUUUUUUUCCUGUUACGCGGUGAGGAGUCUCGCGCGGUAGUGUUUUGGAUGUCUCUUUCGGUGCGGCGGAAGGCUGUGGCGUCUUUUAAAAUUUUCCGUUCGUAAGAAGAAAGCUAAAAAACAAAAUACGUACAAAAUAUACAGGCUCACAUAUAUAGACACACAUAUACCCUUGUCAAGGUUAAGUUUCCAUACAUUUAAACUAAUUCAUUGAAUUUUAUUUCUAUGGGUUUCUUACACUGAAAAACAAAAUAAAAAAUAUAUAGACUCACGUAUAUAAACUGACAUAUGGAUUUUUACUGGCGGUUUUUUAAGAUACUAAAAUAAUAGAAAUUAAUAAUCUAAAAUACUUGCUUCCUUAUACAACUUAAUAAAUAAUGGUACACGGAGAAGUACAUAUGGCAUAAGUCCUGGUUUUUUCUCUUCAUGAUUGUAUCUUGAUGUUUACACGGAUAACUAAUAUAGAUAAAUAAAUAAUAGAAAAAGUCCUUGCUACGUGGCAAUAGACAAACAGAUUUAAAAUAAUUCAAUAAAAUAAUUUGUGACACAUAAUCUUUGGCAAAGAUUUAUGACAUUUCAAAAUUAGGUCUUAUGACAUAGCAAAUACUGUCACUGGAUGGAAUUAGACUAGCAAUAUGACAUUUGUUAUGACAUACAAUUUUUUAUUGUCACUGAGUCGAGAUGCAUGAAAUAAAAUAUCAUAAACUGGAUGAUUUAAUGACAUUAUGACCUGUUGUCACACUAAAAAUGUCAAAAAACCACACAUCUCUUGUAGUGGAUCCAUACAUUACCACUCAAGCAAGUGGCAUCCAUACAAUUUCACACCGUAUGGACAACGAAAGGAAAACAUUGCUUACCGUGGCGUAGUGGUACAUGAUCCAUUCGUUACCACUUAAGUAAGUGGCAUCCAUAUUAUUACACGCCAUAUGGACGAGAAAGAAAAAACUCCCAUGUUAGUAAUAUUAUGCCACCUAGAAGUCCUUAAGCGGGCCUAAAGGGUAUGACCACAGGCAUGGUAUAUGUUGUUCAAACAUUUUAAAACAGCCCUAUGUAUAGCCUAAAUUUGCCAAUUAGUUUGGGAAAAACAAAUUCCUUUGUUUUUAAAUACAUCUAUGAUGGUUAAAUGCUUAAUCUUGCUCCGAUGCCAGCUAUAACAGAACCGUCCAAUUUAUAAGAAUUCAAGUGAAUUAGCGACCACGAGAGUAGUCAAGCCAACGGACUUGAACCCAUAUAAACCCGGUAGUCCGACGAAACCUCAAAAGAUCUCGAUUCAACCAGCAUACAACCAAUACCAUACAUGAUCAAGCAUGUCCAUCACAAAUUACAAGCAUUAAUCACAGAACAUAGUUUUACAACACAUCGGAGUUCAAAUAGAGUCAUUACAACAUAGUUCAAUAGCGGAAGCAAAGUAGUUUUGAAACAACACGCACUUAGUUUUAAUUACAUUCCAGCUUCAUGAUCAACCCAACAAAAGCACAACUGGAGGUACGAGAGGUGAUCUUGCCUGAGAUCUAUUCAUCAUCCGCAGCCGGAUGGUGACAGUUAGCACAAUAGCCGUGAUACACGACAUCAUCUGCAACAAGGGUAAAUAAAACCCUGAGUACGAGAAGGUAGUCAGCUAGACUUACCCGCCAUAAACCUGAAAUAGAGUGACACCAAGGAGUAUGCAAGGCUAAUAUUUGUGGACUGGUUUGACUCACAUUUUGCAUAAAAAGCUUUAAUUUUAUGUAACUCAUUUAACAUUUUUAGCAGCAAGUUCAUUACUUAAAGCAGCUAUCCACUAGAUUAGCACCUGUUCUAAGCAUAUACUUGAGUAUUAAGCAUCACAAUAAAACCAUAUCUGGAUUAUCACAUAGCCAUCAUCAUUCUCAUCAUAACCAUCAAGUUUAUUUAGUGAGUUCUACGUUGCCACUGCUCGAGUCAAGUUCUCACUAUCCGAGAGAGACGGUGAUUCGAAUCGAUUCCUAUCCAACUGGAGGGGUAUUCCUAGCACUCACCCAAGCACACCUCAUGAGGGCAGCUCGGAUCACCUUUAGCACAACUCUGGACCAAUUCGCGGGUCCGUACAGCACCGCACCACCAGGGACCGCCAAUCUGCCAGGGUCAGGACUCUAACUUGACACCUCGGUCUUACGCCAUUGACUCCCCGCAAAUCCUUGCUACCAACCGGGGUGCGCACUUUAACCAGAUCGGGGUAUCCGGCCGGAGAUGCACUCGUAAGCUUCACGGUCGGAACGACUUAUCCGGCCAACUAAGUGUUAGGCAAGCGUUCAACAUGACACGAGUACGUACAGCGUAUCGGUCGUUAAACGACACAGACGGGGAUAGAUUCACACCCAAGACCUCCAUGCCUUGUUGCUGCACUAUCGUCAUCCCGCCUGGUCUCAAUUUCAUUAUUAGCACAUGGUUAUUUCCAUGAUAGCAAAUAUAGCCAACCGUGAUCAAGUAUCCACCUAUAUCUCGCAGGUAAUAGGAAAUCAACCGGCUUCUACCGAGCUAAGCAUGGCUAAGCAUUAUUUCGAUCCUGGACCUAUUUAGGAAAGAUAUAAGGUGGACAAGGUAGUCAUUAUGCAGCAAGGGUGUCAUAUCAACGCCUAACACUUAAUGCAACAAUACAUAACCAUAGUAAAUGACAGCUGGACAUGGUAACAAAAUAACAGGAGUCUUAUAAUGCUCCGGGACUUGCCUUCGACGUAGGUGGAAGGACGGUGGUCGGGGCACUCCGGUAGAUCCUCUUCCUUCUCAGCUCCUUCUCCUUGAGGUGGCUCCCUCUGCUGCUCCUCCGGCUCUGGUGGUGCGAACUCCAGGACCGUCAUGCCCUUGGGUAACCUAUGUAUGCAUGUCAAGCCGAUAAACAUAGGGAAUGCACAUAUGAUGCAUGAUGUCAUGAUGAUAAGCCAAAGGAACAUAAAACAGGGUGCAAACAUGAGCAUAAGCUUCUAAUAUUAAGAGGAUCAUGAAACAACAAGUAAGUGCAUACUUCUUCUCUGGUAGAGAGGCUAACUAGGCAAACUACUCAACCUUAGCUAUUCACACUUAGCAACUGGUGUCAUGGACAGAUUAGCUAGUCACAAGUUUCAGCUAUUACUUAGGUAUCAGUUGGCCAAACUAAGCAAGUGGGCACUUUCUGGAAAGCUUGACAAAUUGUCUACAAUUCAUUUUGAGACAUCCCAGAAAGAUUCCCAACUAAAAUAGGCCAAAACAGGCAAAGUUUUCCGGCUGCUCUGGAAAAUCCAGAGAACAAGCACUUCGUAGCAGCUACUUGCUACAGUCAUAACUUUUAAACUACUCAGUCAAAUGUCAUAAAAUUUGGACACAAGGUAGAUAAGUAAUUUAGCUACAAGUUUGUUAUAGACAAGUUUUCCAGAAAACUUCAUCUUCAAGCAGUUCUUAAACAGUUGCUAUCCGCUACACAGAAUAUGCUCUAGGCAAGACAUAAUUAGCAAAAUAAUAUUUUAACACAUACUAAGAAUGCAACAAUGGUUCAAACCAAAGGCACCAGUAGCUAGAUUAUGUCUAAGAAACAUCAUAAAACAUCAUGGCAAGGUUUAAACUCAUUUCUAACAUCACAUUUUCUAUUUAUUUAAUUAUUAAGAUGAUUUAAUGAGCAUGUAACACAGGUGCUCCACAAAUUACCAUCAAAUUACGGCAAGCUACCUAGGCUAUCACAAGGUUACUGUAAAAGUUUCAUGGCUCUUGCACAUGCAGAUUGUGAGGUACAAAAAGGACAAGCCACUCAUGGCAUUAGAGGCAUAAAUGUGAAACCCUAUAAAAAAGUGUCAAACAACAGAUUUCAGAUUUUUCUUAGCUAUGUUUACACAUGAUUACAGCACUCAGCAAGUUUCACCUUAAAAUGAGUUAUAGUCUAUUUACUAAAAAUACCACAAAAACUCCUAUUUAAACAAGAAAUAAAUAUAGCUUCACCAACAUACAUCCAAAAAUCAUAAUAAAUUUAUCAGAGCCUAUUUAUGUCAUAAUUAACACUCUCCUAAAUUUUUAUGGCCAGAAGACUCACAGAUCUCAAGAUAUAAUUAUCUUCUAUUUAACUAAGAUUAAAUCAUAACUAUUUAUUUCUGCAAAAACAUGGUAUGUUUUAUACUUUUAAUAAAAACUAGACGAAUUCAAGAACCUAACAAAAUUGGUUUCACUCAAAACGGAUCCCUGCAGCUUGAGAUAUUGAAUUUACAAGCUUUUAAAAAAAGAACAUAGAAAAGAUUAAAACGAAAAUAACCACAUCCUAAGAACUACUACACGCACCGAGUGCUGAGUACCCCAAAGGCUGACAGCUGGGACCUAAGGUCAACCUGGACCCACACGUCAUAAGGACAAAAACAGGGGAGCUACUUUGACCGGCCAUAGCUCGCCGGCGGCGAACUUUCCGGCGACGCGACCGCCACCAACAGACUCCUUACAUCGAGACGCAUCUAUCGGGAUAGGUUACCAAGUAAACGCCUCGACUUUCACAUGACGGCAAAGGAAGAGGCGGCUCGGGCUGUAUGUACAUACAUACGCAGCACGGCGGCCGGCCAUGGCACACGGCUACGGCAAACUUUGCCGGAGGCCGGUCAUGCGAGCGGCAACAGCCCUAGGUGACUGGGAACGAGUCGGACAGAGAGUAGCGAGAGAUGCGGGACGCAAUGGCGAUGCACGAGCUUCAGCUCAGCAACAUCCAUGGCGGCGGCUGCGGCCCUGGUGCCCUUACCAAACGGUGGUUUGCGUCGUAUUUGAACAAGAACGUCGAGAGCUCACCACCCUGCUGCAGCCAUAGAAAACAAAGAAGGAUGCCUAGCUACAGAGAGCAGUGGCAGCAAGCAGACAGCAAGCAAUGGCGGCGGCUGUCCUCUUUGGCCCAGGCGAGAAGUGCGAUGUAGACGAACAGGUAGGCGAUUGCCUCGGUGGAGUCGCACGGCGCUCGGCUUUAUUCGUAGCUAUGUGGGGCCAACAUCAACGUACGACAUACACGCGGCGCAAGCAAGCAGAGCUGGUCGGCCACGAUCCAACCCAAACCAAUUCGAAGUCUGAUCAGGAACCAGCAAAAGUACUGCAAAAAUACGUCUGAACUCGAGACUUCGCAGCCCUCCAACUCCCAAACCAGUGCGAACUAGCAAAAACUUCAGUGAUACAAGUUGGAGAUCUGAAUGAGUACUCCAUCUUUGAUUAUAAGAGUUUGGUCUAGUUCAGCUUAAAUUAGAAACUAUGAGCUGCCAAAGUACCCUACACGUAAACUGACAUUCAGUUUCGUCAGUUCCUACACUUAGCCAAAAAAUGCCAUGUCCAAACAGCCCCUAAAUUUACCUUGUGUGCAAUUUUUUAGUAUGAUCUGCACAGUUUCAUUAAGAUGGCCCUAAAACAACAUUUGUAGCCUAUAAAAUGUACUACAACUUUGCUUUAGGGUUCAUUGACAUGCAAGGUUUCUAACACAGGUUUCAUAAAAGCUCUUUAAAAAGAGGUUUAGGUGGUCAACUAGGUCAAUCCUAGGGUUAACCAUGGCUUAGGGUCAUAUUUAGGUAAAACCUCCAACACAAACUUUGUUCAAAAUGAUAUUCUAAACAUGAAUAAAGUAUUUUAGAAGACAAUGUGCACUUAUAUGCAUUGGUCACACAUUACUAUCACACAUAGCAAGUCACAUUAGCAAUUCACUCAUAUAGUGUAUACACAAAUGGCAUGCGAUCAUGGUAUGAUGCUCAUGAGUGAGUAUCAUAAUGCUUAUGUUGAUGCAAUGCUCAUGACUAACAUGCAAGCUAACACUAGGGGUGUUACAAGGAGUACUCGGCCCAUGUCUAUAUUUACGUGAACCCAUAGGGUCGCACGCUUAAGGGGUCGGAAACCUAAUUCGGGUUGGACCCAAAUUAGACAAGGCUUAGGGUUUCUAAUUGGGGCCCCGAUUCGGGGCUGAUUGAGGACUUCUAUAUAAGAGAGGAAGGGGGCAUGGCCAGGAUUAAUCUCAUGCCAUUAGGCAGUCGCCGCAACUCACCCACGCUCGCGUCUUUUGCUCCUCGCGGGACCUGGCAGCCGGAGGCGCAACGCUUCUUCCCCGCACGUGUGGGAUACCUCGGAGGUGCUGCAUCUGGAGCACAAGGACGAACCGUGGGAUAGGGAUUGGCGUGGUGGAUGACCACGCAACUGCACGGCACUGCUACUAUGCGCACAACUACAUCGAGUCGCUUCCGCUACAUCUGCGCGUCUAGUGGUAAUCCUGUGAUCUAUAACUUGCAGUUGAUCCUUGUUUAUGAGGUCGAAAUUUUGUUUCCUAGCUAGCAUAGCAUCCUCAUAAUCCAUCAGUAGUAUCAGAGCUGUUACUGUGUUUUUAUAGAUUUGAUUGGCUACAUAUAAAGAUAAGUGCAGUUUUAGAUGAGUCUCAUGAUCUUGGUUCAUGGUUUUGUUGUGCUGGUAUUGUAACGAUCUACUCGUACCGGUCAGAAUUCCGCCAUCCGAGUUAAGUGAUACAUGUAAACCCAAUCAUGGUGAGAAAGAGAUAAUUCAGAAUGAUCUAAUUGAACCCUAGGUCAAGUGUCGGGCGCAUGUGAUGCGCGGGGGUAGUAGAUGGGAUCUACUGCCGUGCGGCGGAUUGCCGGGCAAAGUAUUGUUCGGUAAAACAGCCGUAACUUUUGAUCCAUGACUUGGAUUGAGACGAUCUAUAAAUGAAAACCGUAGAGUAAAAAGUUUUACAUCUGAUGCUCCAUGGUCAAACUAUGUUCAGCGAAAUUAGAACUGUGAAAAAAGGCCAGCAAAAUAGAGUUUUUGGCCUUGCAAGUUUAGAUGUCCGAAUCGGUUAACUCUGUUUUGUAGGGAUUCAUGACUGGUAUAGCCCUUAUGUGUAUGUGAUGCAUGUAUGUAAUAAAUUCAUGGCUUACACGUCAUGAUAAUGACAAUAUGGCUGGAGCCACACAGAUAUUGUCCACCUGAUGUAAUGGCCUGCGUGCCAAUCUGUGAUGAUCCUACCCACGACUAUGUAAUUUUAAUUCACUGCCUUGCGUUAGUGAUAGCUAGUCUUGGUGGAAUCAUUACUGGAGGAUGGCGUACAUGGAUCAUGGAGAUGGAGAUCACCAUGAUGAAGAGAUAGAUGGAAAUGGAGAUGGAGAUCCCCAAAGUGAUAAUGGGCUAUACCAAGUCAUAUCUGUGUUAAUGCCGUUCUUACUAUGUUCUACUUUCAUAUGCGAUGAUGUUUUGUCUACAUACGCACGGUAGUAAAGUAGAACGAUCCCUCAACAAUGUUUAAAUUACAUGCUCCCCCAAACCUUGCACUGUCAUGCGUCUUGUACAAUCGGUGGUAGGUCUAUGAAAUUAGGGUGCCACUGGUUUUCCUUGACUAGGCAGGUUCGUAUCGGAUACUUACUGCAGAAGGGUUGGUUUUCUUGAACAAGGUCAUCCUAACAGUUAGGGACCUUGGAGCAUAAGUAGUUGGGUAACACAAGCAUAGAGAUGUCAUCCCAACAACAAGAGUCAUAUGUGAUAUGAUUAGCAAGGAGUUGCUUACCGAUCUACCAUGUCUACUAGCGGUGAUGCUAAAGCUCACUAGUAUACUUGUUCGUUGUGGGUCUUGAAUCACUAAGUAUCAAUUGAGGGAUAUUGAUUUUAGUGGGAGUAGAUUUUAUUUAAUAUUAUUUACUCUUUCUUUGAUACGUUGUCUUAGUAUUUUGUAUUACUUUUGUUGUAGAUUAAUGGCGCCCACCAAUCAAACAUUUACUUUACGCUCAAUUCUUGAGAAAGAUAAGUUGAAUGGAACAAACUAUGCAGAUUGGAUCCGCAACCUGAGAAUUGUUCUCAGGGCUAAAAAAAGGAAGAGAUUCUGGACACCCCAUUACCAGAAGCACCUGAGGAUAAUGCAUCAACUGUAGAGAAGAACGCUUACAAGAAAGCAUGUGAUGCUGAUCUUGAAGUGAGUUGUCUCAUGCUUGCUUUUAUGGAACCUGAGCUGCAGAUGCAGUUUGAAAAUAAUCAUGCAGCGUAUGAUAUUAGCAUAGCGCUUAAUGAUAUGUUCUAGGCUAAGGCUAGAACUAAAAGGUUCCAUGUCUUAAAAGCUUUUGUUGCUGCAAGCUAACAGAGGGCGCAACAGUUGGCCCACAUGUAAUCAAGAUGGUUGGUUACACUCAGAGGUUGGAGAAGCUAGGCUUCCGAAUUGGCCAAGAGUUGGCUACUGAUUUCAUUCUCUCGUCUCUUCCACCCAGUUAUGGAAACUUCAUCUCGAACUACCAUAUGCAUGGGGUGGAGAAGGGCUUGAAUGAGUUGUGUGGCAUGCUGAAAACAGUAGAGGCUGACAUCAAGAAGAGUGCAGGCAGUAGCCAAGUGUUGGCUGUCCAAAACAAGCCUAACUUUAAGAGAAAGAAGGUGUUGAUGCAAAAGCUGAUCUGCAAACACAAAGGGCGAAUACCAGAUUCAAGCUGUCACAGAACCGACCAAAUUAUAAGAGUUCAAGUGUAGAAACGAUCGACAAGCAAUCAAGUUUCCAAACUUGAGCCCAUAUAAUCCCGGUAGUCAAUUGAAAUCACGAAGGACUUCAAACCAACUUGCAACAAACCAAGAUCGUAAUAAUUCAGCACAACACAGCGAAUGUUACAUAGUCAUUCAUUGCCGUCGAAGCGGCACCACAUCGGAGUAUUAAGUUAUUAUAACACUUGUUUGAAGUAGCGGAAGCAAAAUAAUUACACACACUUGUUCAAGGUUUAGUUCACAAUUUCGAGUUACUACCAGAGUCUACAUCAUCCUUCCAAAAGCAACAGGUACGAGUUUGUUAGAGAACCGUGCCCAACGGUUAGUUCUCAUCCCCAGCGGGAUGGAGACAGGUCUUGCAGAAACCGUCAUAGAAGAUGUCAUCUGCAACAGGUGGGAAUAAACCCUGAGUACGAGAAUAUACUCAGCUAGACUUACCCGUCUAGUAAACAUAAAAGACACCAAGGAUCAUGCAAGACUAAGAUAUAAAAGUAGAGCUGGUUGACUCGACAUUUUGCCAAAAGCCUUUAUUAUGAUUGACUCAUUGUGAGAGCAUCUUAUUUAUUUAUCAUCGGCCUACCACUUAGAUUAGCACCUGAACUAAAGCACUUCACUUGAUUAAUACAAGCAAUAAUAACCAUAUCAAGUUCAUCUUAUGUUCUUCCUUGCUAUCAUCAUUAUCAUGAACCAAGUUCAUUAGUGAAUGCUACGUUUGCCGCUGCUCUGUCAAGUUCUCACUAACCGGGAGAGACGGCGAUUCGAAUUGAAUUCCUAUCCAGCUGGAGGGUUAUUCCUAGCACUCACCCAAGCAUCCCCCGUCGGAGAGCCAACGGGUCACCUUUGGUACAACUCAGGAAUCGCGGCUCCGAUCAGCGCCGCACUCCCAGGGCUACCAUUCUGCCAGGGAGUUCAGGAAUUUUAACUCACCUGCCUUUGGACUUACGCCAAUGGUCCCCCGCACACCGCACUUCCUCCGGUAGUGCGUACUUUAUACUUACCGGUCUUCCGGCCUAAGUCAUACUACUCGGCUUUGCGGUCGGAACGAGUUAUCCGGCCAACUAAGUGUCAGGAAUGCGUUCAACAUGACAAGAGGACGUACAACGAUCGGUCCUUAGCUGCCACAGAUGGAGUUACUACAACCUUGCAAAACUCCACCCGGCUUAAAUCAAAUUAAUCAGGUUCCAUCCACGAUAGCACAUAUAGACCACCGUGAUCCGACACAACCCUAUAUCGCGCAGGUGACAGGAAAUCACCCGACUUCUACCGAUUAAGCAUGGCUAAGCUGCUACUCGAUCCUAACUCUAUAACCAGGUAGGGUAAAUUAUCUAGACAAGGAUGGAAUAAAGUGCAGCAAAGGUUUCAUCACAACUCCUAUACUUAAUGCAUCAAUAGAUAUAACAUAUUAGAUAAACUUUCAAAAGUAAAAGGGAGACUUAGAAUGCUCUGGGGCUUGCCUUUCACGAACGAAGCUGGCUCGUGACUUGGGCACUCAACCUCUUCUUCGGGCUCCUCGAGUCCGACUUGCUGGACCUCCACCUCCGGGUUGCCCUCCUGGCCUUCGGGAUUCACUUGCAGAUUGAAGGAGGCUGCCACGUCCGAUACACCUAUUGCAUGCUCGGUGAAUGAGAAGGUGUGCAUACAAAAGAAUGGAUGCUUGAUAACAUAAGUGACCCACUGGACACUCAUUUACGGAGUAAUAGUUAUAACAAGUUCACACAAGUUAACAAGUUAACUUAGCCCAAAACCUAUCAUGAUAGCCUAUAACAGCAAGCAACAAACAGCAGGAUGAGCUCAGUAAACAGAUCAUAACUAGUGCUAGGCAGAUCCAACAAAUUUAAGUGAGGACAUUCUAGAAAGCUUAUGAAAUUGUCUACAAAUCAUCUUUAAACAUCACAGCAAGAUUCUUACAUUUAGACAAGUCAUUUAAACAAAGUUCCAGGUUCUGUUCCAGAAAACAGAGAACACCUAUUUCUGGAAUCUAACUUGGAAAGAUCAUAACUUCAAAGCUACUAGGCCAAAUGACCUCAAAUGUAAACCACAGCUAGUUCAAUAAGUUUACAACAACUUUGAUUUAGACAAGUUUCCCAGAAAACCAAGUUAUCAUUAAACAAAAGUUAAAUUACUCCCUUGCUGUCCAGAACAGCAUUUAACCCACCAAUUAAUUAUUUAAUGACAUAGCCAAGGCAUAAACAGUGUCAACCACAUAACUUAUAAGUACAAGCAUAUCACAAGGUUACCAGAACACCAGAUGAUAGCCCCAAAACAUUUACUUAACUAGGCAUUUAUUAAUUAAUUCUAGAUAGGAGUAUAAUUACAAGAUACUAAUCAAAGUGCUCAGAAAAAUUUAUGAAAAUUACAGAGGCACAAGUAUAGCAUUAAAGUAUCACCAUAAAAAUUUCAGAGCAAUUGCACAUACCGAAUUAAAGAUAUGUAUUUAACAUGUAACAAGGUGUUUAUUUCAUAAAUUGGAAAACAUGACUUAUAUUGUGCCAAACAACAGGUUUCAGAUUAUUUACACAUUAUGAAUGCCAUAAGCCAGUUUACCACCAAAAUAGAGUACCAGCAUAAACACCAAUUAUUUUAUAUGAUUUAAUUAAAGAAACAAGCCAAAUCUCAAACAUAAAUUACAUAACAAAGCUGCAGUACUCCAAAAAUCAUGAAAUAAUUAACAAAGCACCACUGCUGCAUGAUCGGGCAUUAGCACCGGUCGGGAAGGGCCUGUUGCCCCGGUUCCCGAGCCGGUGCUGCCCUUCCGGGACUAAAGGCCCACCCUUUAGUCCCGGUUCGGCCAACCGGGGCUAAAGGCCCCCCCUUUAACACCGGUUGGUAACACCAACCGGUGUUAAAGGGUCCUGCCAGGGCUGCCACGUUGCAGGACCCUUUAACACCGGUUGGUGUUAUCAACCGGUGUUAAAGGGUUUCUUUUAGUUCACUUCUUCGGUUCUGUUUAUUGUUUAUAUAUAAUAUAUAAUAAUAGGUUUUUCAAUACAUGUUUUGCUGAUACAAUAAUAUAUUUAUAUUACACGCAUAUUAAGCAUAUAUAAAUGAAAAUUAUAGGCUAAGCUUAAUAGUUAAGCUUUGCCUAUAAUAAAAUGAAUAGACCACAUCAAAAAUUAAAUAGAUAUGUAAAAAGCUUUAUAUAUAUAUAGUUUUAUAUGUACAAAAUUCGUAACACAUAUAUACAUAGAGUUUGUUCUCCCAAUGUCUACAAACGAUACAAAUGAUCAUCGUUGUUUGGUAUAAGAGUUUCGUUGCCGUUGAAGUGAAACUCGCCGUUUGGAUUGAUCACUUGGUCGCGGAGAAAUCCUGCUAUCGUCUCUUGGAUAGCUUUGAUUCGGUCUUGUUGUAGGACCUUUUCCCUCAGCCAUUCCGUCUUUAAUUUGAAAUAAAUAAAAAAGGUAUUAGUUAUCUAAGUUAUUCAAUAUAAUUCAGGAGAUAAUGAAAAGAGACAUGUAACGUACUCUGAGCGUCUCUGUGGGUGUUUGAUUGACUUGUGCCAUCAUGAAUUUGCACACGUAAUAUGCACAUAGAUUGUUCCCUCCUUCUUGUCUUAAACACCACUGUACGAUGUAUAUAUAUAUAAAAAUAUUCAUAACCACGACAAUAAGAAGGCUAAAAGUUAGCGAAAGUUUGUUAGCUAGUAGAACUUACUUGUGGAUGUAUUAUGUUAAGCGGCGCUUUACAUCCACUGAGAUGUUCACGGUCAAUGAAUCUUUCCCAAACCCUAUACACAGCCAUUGUGGAUCGUGAACUAAUAAUUACAGAGUCAUAUUAUGAUAUUUUUGUAGCUGAGAUCGACAUUACGUACCUUUGAAUAAUGUUUACCAUUUGUUGAUAAUUUUCUUGUGGUUUUCUCAUUGAGUCAAAGAUUAUCAAUCGGUUCUUGGGAAUUUCAAUGACCAUGAGUAUCCAGUGAAAGCUGUUUACACACACAUAUAUAGGGUCAGUCCUAUAAUGUAAAAUAAAAUAUGCAUGCACUUAAUAACUAUAUAACUCACUCGAAGUUGAAGGGGAAGAGUAUUUUUUGUUUUUCUUUUUGGUUUACAAAGAACCUCAUAAGAUUGGUGCAGAUUUCUGUCUCAUAAUCUGCUGUCCACACUGCCUGCGGAGCCUUGAAAACAAUAUAAGGGUCAACGAACCCAAUACUAUUGUCAUUUCUCAUUCUGAGCUCUCUCAUUUGGUGCCUGCAUAUAUACAUACAAAUCCUAAGUGUGUAAGGAUUAUAUACAUGUAAUUAAAGAAGUUACAAGUAUAAUAAAAAGGAAAAAUACUUACAGACAAAAGCAGCUGACAAGAGAUUUGUCAAGAGCGUCGAGGUGGCAUAAUUGGUGCAAUUCUUCGAACUGCACGUAUAUGAGGUCAUCUCCACGGAAGUAGUGAUGUUGUCUAAUACGAACAGAAAUCCAAUUCUCUCCCCUUUUAGACGCCUCAAUGCACCAUUUGUUUAUUGCAAACAUUUGUGUGCCGAGCUCGUGUAAACGCUUAGGGUCGAAUAGACUCCUGCCCGGUUCAUAUCUUGCCCUCCAUUGAUCAACUACCUCGGCUUUUUCAAAUGUAUGACAUCCAAGAAUGGCGGUAAUUUCUUCUAUAUUUAAACCGCUCUGUCCAAAGUAACUCUCAAGCGAGUCUAGCUCAGACAACGCUAAGAAUUUCUUUGGCAUCAAGUCUUCAUUUGAGCCGUAUUGAUUUGGCACAAUCAAAGGGGGCACCGGUUUUGAUACUUCUCCGAGCUGUGGGACCCCCUUUCCUACUCUCUUCUUAGUAGGCUGUGAAGACUUGACCAGAGACCGCUCAUAGUCCGAAAGUGCUGGCUUUUUCUGAGCUUCGCGUUGCUUCUUUUGAUGGUCCGCCACCUUCUGCCUCAGUUCCGAUGGCUUCACAUAAAAGUACGGCUUUUCUGGGUUAAGCCGUUUUUUCCUUUCCUUCUUUAUUUUAUCAAAAAAUUGUUGGACCUCAGCUUUAGAUGUAGCAAUUACCUCCUCUUCACUCUUUUCGUAAGGUAAUUUUUCUGGCGUCUUAGCUCUCUUUGCUGAGGCAGCCUUCUUUGGAGGUGGGACCGAUGACUUCGGUCCUUCUUGGACGGACCGCUUCUUACUACCUCGCUUUGGAGGCGAGGGGACCGACCGUGCACUCUUUGGAGAGGGCGGUGCAGGCGGUGGAGGGGGUGGGGCCGAUCUUUUUGGCGUUGGAGAACGCGGUGGAGGAGUUGGAGAACGCGGUGGAGGAGUUGGAGACCUCGGUGGAGGAGGUGGAGACCGUGGUGGAGGCGGUGGCGGGGUCGGUGUGGCCGCCGCAGGUGUUGGAGGAGAUCCAGCAUUGUCACCGCCCGCAGCACUAUGAUGCGCUGGGGAGAGAACUGGACUUAGGUUGGAGGAGUCCCUGCAAAGAAAACAAUUACAAGUUUUGUGAGUAAACUUUUUUUAAAUUUCAAUACAUAAUAAAUAAUAUAAGAAGUAAAAUCACACACAAACCUAUGCUGAGGAAUAAUUAUGAAGCGCUUGCGCCAACAAAUAAAUGUCUUCUCAGCUUCACCUAAGGUCUUCUCUCCGUCUCCCCCUUCUAUGUCUAGUGGCACAUUGCCACAACCUUUCUCAACCCUAUCAACCGAGACGCUAGCAUAUCCACCAGGUACUGGUCGAUUAUGGAUUCUUGGAGUGCCCGUUCGGUCGAUAGGGUUGACAACAGCGAUAGCCACCUUUUUGGUGGCAUUCCCAUCUGGUACAUGCAGCUCACAGGUAGUAAAAGCCUCUGUGACAUCAUCCACGGGGAAGUGUAGCUUCGUGUCAUCCUGAAUGGUUGGUACUUCCGUGGAUGCGCAGCUGCUUUUCAACUGGCCUGGGGGGCUAACAUUGACCUCAGGCUGUGAUGUACCUUGCCCUUUCGUCAUUUGACUAAGUGCUGCUUGCACUUGCCUUUGAAUUUCUGCCUGCAUCCAUUCUUCACGAGCUUUCUCGCGCUCUUGUGACUGCAGAACAAAAGCUUCCAGGCGGCGGAUCCGCUCUGCCUCCUCAUCCUUCUUUCUCUGGCGGCUUCUGUAGGUAUCUUGAUCGGCUUGGAAUGAUUGCAGCCAUGUAACUGCCCCAUAGCCUCUCGUACGCCCACCGUGCUCAGGAUUUUCAAGCGCAUAGGUGAGUUCAUCCUUCUCCCUGUUAGGCCUGAACUCACCAGACUGAACCGCCUCACGUGCACGGACUAGUCUCUCUGCUGCUCUAGAGAUUUCUUGGCCCCAAACUAGCGCCCCGGUGUCUGGGUCCACGCUUCCCCCAUGACCGUAGAACCAAUGUUUGGAGCGCUCGCUCCAAUUCUUUGCUAUUGUCUCGGGUGUGACCCCCCUAGCAAGCAUCUCCUGUUCCAUUCGGUCCCACUUGGGAGCAGCACUCUUAUAACCACCUGAUCCCAUAUGAUGGUGGUAUGCCUUUUUACUGGCAUUCUCUUUGUUUCUAUUGGCUCGUUCCUCGCCCUCUUCUGAUGUUUUGUACUGCACAAAGUCAUCCCAGAAGGCCCUCAGCUUUACAUAUUGCUUGAGGUUGAAAUCUGGAGUCUCGUUUUUCUUGACAUAUUUAUUGUACAAAGACUUCUUCCAAUUUUGGAAGAGUACUGCCAUCUUCUUCAUAGUCCAGUCAUAAAUUCGCACCUUCAACUCUUCAUCGUUGGUGUCGAAGGUGAAAACGUCUGUGACGGCUUUCCAAACUAACUCCUUGUCACGAUCAGAGACAAAACUGAUCUCAGGAGCACCUCGCUUCUCUCUCCAUUCACGACAACUGAUCGGUAUUUGAUCUCUCACAAGAUAUCCACAGUGAUUAACAUAUUUAUUUGCAUGCUCACCAAGUGGUCUGCCUGUAGCUAUCUCAAACUCAGAGAUUACAUAGCGGCCCUCCAACGGCUUCUUUGGUCCUCGUGGAGGUACGCUUCUCCCCGUAGAGGUCGAUCCAGAAGGCUACACGUACAUAUAGAAACAAAAAUACUAAAUUAAUAACCAAGUAAUAAGUCUAAAACCUAAUGUAAGAGAUGCAUUAUUUAUAUAUGUUUACAUUUACAUACCUCGCCAGUAUUUUCUUCUUGUUGCACGACAAGUUGUUGCUCAGGGGCAUUGCCCUCUUGUUGCUCAGGGGCAUUGCCCUCUUGUUGCUCAGUACGAUUGCCUUGCAUGAUGUCGUGGUAAUCAACAAAGUACUGACUACCGUCGUCGAUCAUAUUUUGAAUGGCAGCUUCCAUAUAAUCAGGAUCAUCAUGAGGACGGUCAGCCAUUUCUAUGUCUGCAACCAUACAUAUAUAUAUUCUAUAUAAGAUAAGAAAUACACUAAUACUACUACAAAUGAAAGUGUUGGAGUGCUCUAAAAAUAAUACUAGGAUCUUUUAAGCCAAGUAAUACAUUAAUAAGAAAUACACUACAAUUCAUAAUACACUACAAUUCAAAACACUACAAUUCAUAAUAUACUAGAAUAACAUACUAAAAAGUCUUUUAAGCCAAGUAAUAUACUAGAAUAAUAUACUAAAAUAUAAUACUAAAAAAUAAUACUAUAAUAAUAGUAUAAACUAAUAGUAUAUGUUUUAAGCCAAGUAAUACACUUGCACAUAGAAUAAUAUACUAAAAAAUUCAUACUACUACAAAUUGAUACAAGAAUAAUAUAAGUGCAUAUAUAUACAUAAUAAGAAAUACACUAGAAUAAUAGAAGUGCUAGAGUGCUCCAAACUAAAAAGUAAUACUAAAAAAAUAAUACAGACAAUAACACUAGAAUAAUAUACUAGCACACAAUAUAUUUCAUAAUAAUUCAAAACACUAGCACAAAAUAUAUUUCAUAACAAUUCAAAACACUACAAUUCAUAAUAUACUAGAAUAACAUACUACAAAGUCUUUUAAGCCAAGUAAUAUACUAGAAUAAUAUACUAAAAUAUAAUACUAAAAAAUAAUACUAAAAUAAUAGUAUAUAAACUAAUACACACUUGCACAUAGAAUAAUGUACUAAAAAAUUAAUAAUACUACAAAAUGAUACAAGAAUAAUAUAAGUGCAUAUAUAUACAUAAUAAUACAAAAUAAUAGUAUAUAAACUAUUCGGUAUGAAAUAUAAGUGCAUAUAUAAUGAUACAAAAUAAUAGUACAUAAUUAAGUGCAUAUAAAAUAAUAGUAUAUAUACAUAAUGAUACAAAAUAUAUUAAUAAUAUAAAAUAAUGAUAAAAGAACAAAAUGAUACACGAAUAAUAGUAUAUAUAUAUACAUACAUACAUAUAUAUAUAUAUAUAUAUAUAUAUAUAUAUAUAUAUAUAUAUAUAUAUAUAUCUUAUAUAUAUAUAUAUAAGAGAUAUAUAUAUAUAUAUAAACUGUUGGUAUUCAUAUAUAUAUAUAUAUAUAUAUAUAUAAACUGUUGGUAUUCAUAUAUAUCUAUACAAUUCAUAUAUACAAUUUUAGUCUAUACAUAUAAACUGUUUUGACAUUCAUCCAUAUAUAUAUAUAUAUACACACGAGCGAUCGAUACACAUGAAGAAAUAUACGUAGAUCUGUGGAGAGCCGCUGCAGCGACGCUGGAGACGAACGGCGGCGCUGUAGAUGGCGGCGGCGGCGCUGGAGACGAACGGCGGCGCUGGGAGACGAAUGGGCGGCGCUGGACGACGGCGGCGCGGAGAUCUCUGCUCGACGAAGACGAAGACGAAGGGAACUGCCCAGAUCCAGGGCUCCUGCACACAUUUAUAGGGGCGGACCCUUUANNNNNNNNNNNNNNNNNNNNNNNNNNNNNNNNNNNNNNNNNNNNNNNNNNNNNNNNNNNNNNNNNNNNNNNNNNNNNNNNNNNNNNNNNNNNNNNNNNNNAAGUAGCAUUCCUAGUAAUAUAUAACAAAAAUAAAAAGUUUUACGUCAAUAUGAUGUGAAAAUAAAUUUCCAGUUCAUUGGAUAUAGUUUUUGUAAAUUUAUUGGAAUAAUAUAUUUUUGCAUUAACAAAAUACUAAACAUUUCUUACAAAAUCAUUGUAAAUUAUAAAAAUACAAUAAGAUAUUUAAGUUUAAAAAUUUUCAUGUGUACAUUAAAACAAAUUACAAUAUAUGUCACUAUUUAAAAAACAUUAUGCAAAAUAUUUAAUUUACUAUACAAUUUAUAAUAUAAACUGUAUAUAUAAAACAAUUGAAAAACCCUAAACUAAAAAAAUGGGCCUUUAGCACCGGCCCAUAGUGGGAACCGGUGCUAAAGGGUCCUAGGCGGGCUCGGGCGGGGUCCUGAAAUUUUCAGGACCCUUUAGCACCGGUUCCCACUAUGGGCCGGUGCUAAAGGCCCAUUUUUUUAGUUUAGGGUUUUUCAAUUGUUUUAUAUAUACAGUUUAUAUUAUAAAUUGUAUAGUAAAUUAAAUAUUUUGCAUAAUGUUUUUUAAAUAGUGACAUAUAUUGUAAUUUGUUUUAAUGUACACAUGAAAAAUUUUAAACUUAAAUAUCUUAUUGUAUUUUUAUAAUUUACAAUGAUUUUGUAAGAAAUGUUUAGUAUUUUGUUAAUGCAAAAAUAUAUUAUUCCAAUAAAUUUACAAAAACUAUAUCCAAUGAACUGGAAAUUUAUUUUCACAUCAUAUUGACGUAAAACUUUUUAUUUUUGUUAUUUAUUACUAGGAAUGCUACUUGGGUAUAAUUUUCAUCAAAUAAAAAAUCAUAUAAAAAUAUAUAUCUUGAUGAACACACCCUUUGACCGAACCCUAGAUUGUCCCAAAUGGAACAGUCAUGAAUACAAAGUUUGCUACACUCAUCAAGUUCUACAUUUUGUCUAAUGGUCAACUUUUCAUUUGGAAAAGUUUGAACCACUGAAUUUUGAAUUUUCAUGGAACUCAUAGCCACGCAGCGGUUUCGGAACCCUACAUGGUCUCGAAUGGAAAAGUCAUGAAUACCAAUAUUGUUCCACUCAUCAAAAUCUACAUUUCAUAUAUAGACCAUUUUUGCAUUUGACAAAGUUUUGGGAAGGUGUAGUUGAAAAUCCACAAUUGACACAUAUAGUUUCAUAUAGUUUGUGUGAGAACUUAGAAUUGGUGGGUAUUGUUAACUUAGAUUUUCUCAAAUGGAAAAGUUGUGUAUAUAAAAAGUUUAGAUCUUGAAGAUAUCUAACAACUUGGUAUUCAAAAUAUUUUCAUUUGAAGUAAUUUAGUUUGUCAUUUGACCAAGUUUGACCGAAACCCGUCUUGGAUUUUAUAGAAAUGUAACUAGAAUUGGCUCAAAAUUAUCCAAAUGGAAAAAUGGACAAUAUAUAAAAUAUAGAUUUUGAUGAUCUCUAACAACUUUGUAUUCAAACUUUUUUCAUUUCAAGUCAUCAAAUGGGCUAUUUGACCAAGUUUGACCAAAGUCAAAGCAUUGGUUUUUACAAACACACCCUUUGACCGAACCCUAGAUUGUCCCAAAUGGAACAGUCAUGAAUACAAAGUUUGCUACACUCAUCAAGUUCUACAUUUUGUCUAAUGGUCAACUUUUCAUUUGGAAAAGUUUGAACCACUGAAUUUUGAAUUUUCAUGGAACUCAUAGCCACGCAGCGGUUUCGGAACCCUAAUGGUCUCGAAUGGAAAAGUCAUGAAUACCAAUAUUGUUCCACUCAUCAAAAUCUACAUUUCAUAUAUAGACUAUUUUUGCAUUUGACAAAGUUUUGGGAAGGUGUAGUUGAAAAUCCACAAUUGACACAUAUAGUUUCAUAUAGUUUGUGUGAGAACUUAGAAUUGGUGGGUAUUGUUAACUUAGAUUUUCUCAAAUGGAAAAGUUGUGUAUAUAAAAAGUUUAGAUCUUGAAGAUAUCUAACAACUUGGUAUUCAAAAUAUUUUCAUUUGAAGUAAUUUAGUUUGUCAUUUGACCAAGUUUGACCGAAACCCGUCUUGGAUUUUAUAGAAAUGUAACUAGAAUUGGCUCAAAAUUAUCCAAAUGGAAAAAUGGACAAUAUAUAAAAUAUAGAUUUUGAUGAUCUCUAACAACUUUGUAUUCAAACUUUUUUCAUUUCAAGUCAUCAAAUGGGCUAUUUGACCAAGUUUGACCAAAGUCAAGCAUUGGUUUUUUACAACACACCCUUUGACCGAACCCUAGAUUGUCCCAAAUGGAACAGUCAAGCCNNNNNNNNNNNNNNNNNNNNNNNNNNNNNNNNNNNNNNNNNNNNNNNNNNNNNNNNNNNNNNNNNNNNNNNNNNNNNNNNNNNNNNNNNNNNNNNNNNNNNNNNNNNNNNNNNNNNNNNNNNNNNNNNNNNNNNNNNNNNNNNNNNNNNNNNNNNNNNNNNNNNNNNNNNNNNNNNNNNNNNNNNNNNNNNNNNNNNNNNNNNNNNNNNNNNNNNNNNNNNNNNNNNNNNNNNNNNNNNNNNNNNNNNNNNNNNNNNNNNNNNNNNNNNNNNNNNNNNNNNNNNNNNNNNNNNNNNNNNNNNNNNNNNNNNNNNNNNNNNNNNNNNNNNNNNNNNNNNNNNNNNNNNNNNNNNNNNNNNNNNNNNNNNNNNNNNNNNNNNNNNNNNNNNNNNNNNNNNNNNNNNNNNNNNNNNNNNNNNNNNNNNNNNNNNNNNNNNNNNNNNNNNNNNNNNNNNNNNNNNNNNNNNNNNNNNNNNNNNNNNNNNNNNNNNNNNNNNNNNNNNNNNNNNNNNNNNNNNNNNNNNNNNNNNNNNNNNNNNNNNNNNNNNNNNNNNNNNNNNNNNNNNNNNNNNNNNNNNNNNNNNNNNNNNNNNNNNNNNNNNNNNNNNNNNNNNNNNNNNNNNNNNNNNNNNNNNNNNNNNNNNNNNNNNNNNNNNNNNNNNNNNNNNNNNNNNNNNNNNNNNNNNNNNNNNNNNNNNNNNNNNNNNNNNNNNNNNNNNNNNNNNNNNNNNNNNNNNNNNNNNNNNNNNNNNNNNNNNNNNNNNNNNNNNNNNNNNNNNNNNNNNNNNNNNNNNNNNNNNNNNNNNNNNNNNNNNNNNNNNNNNNNNNNNNNNNNNNNNNNNNNNNNNNNNNNNNNNNNNNNNNNNNNNNNNNNNNNNNNNNNNNNNNNNNNNNNNNNNNNNNNNNNNNNNNNNNNNNNNNNNNNNNNNNNNNNNNNNNNNNNNNNNNNNNNNNNNNNNNNNNNNNNNNNNNNNNNNNNNNNNNNNNNNNNNNNNNNNNNNNNNNNNNNNNNNNNNNNNNNNNNNNNNNNNNNNNNNNNNNNNNNNNNNNNNNNNNNNNNNNNNNNNNNNNNNNNNNNNNNNNNNNNNNNNNNNNNNNNNNNNNNNNNNNNNNNNNNNNNNNNNNNNNNNNNNNNNNNNNNNNNNNNNNNNNNNNNNNNNNNNNNNNNNNNNNNNNNNNNNNNNNNNNNNNNNNNNNNNNNNNNNNNNNNNNNNNNNNNNNNNNNNNNNNNNNNNNNNNNNNNNNNNNNNNNNNNNNNNNNNNNNNNNNNNNNNNNNNNNNNNNNNNNNNNNNNNNNNNNNNNNNNNNNNNNNNNNNNNNNNNNNNNNNNNNNNNNNNNNNNNNNNNNNNNNNNNNNNNNNNNNNNNNNNNNNNNNNNNNNNNNNNNNNNNNNNNNNNNNNNNNNNNNNNNNNNNNNNNNNNNNNNNNNNNNNNNNNNNNNNNNNNNNNNNNNNNNNNNNNNNNNNNNNNNNNNNNNNNNNNNNNNNNNNNNNNNNNNNNNNNNNNNNNNNNNNNNNNNNNNNNNNNNNNNNNNNNNNNNNNNNNNNNNNNNNNNNNNNNNNNNNNNNNNNNNNNNNNNNNNNNNNNNNNNNNNNNNNNNNNNNNNNNNNNNNNNNNNNNNNNNNNNNNNNNNNNNNNNNNNNNNNNNNNNNNNNNNNNNNNNNNNNNNNNNNNNNNNNNNNNNNNNNNNNNNNNNNNNNNNNNNNNNNNNNNNNNNNNNNNNNNNNNNNNNNNNNNNNNNNNNNNNNNNNNNNNNNNNNNNNNNNNNNNNNNNNNNNNNNNNNNNNNNNNNNNNNNNNNNNNNNNNNNNNNNNNNNNNNNNNNNNNNNNNNNNNNNNNNNNNNNNNNNNNNNNNNNNNNNNNNNNNNNNNNNNNNNNNNNNNNNNNNNNNNNNNNNNNNNNNNNNNNNNNNNNNNNNNNNNNNNNNNNNNNNNNNNNNNNNNNNNNNNNNNNNNNNNNNNNNNNNNNNNNNNNNNNNNNNNNNNNNNNNNNNNNNNNNNNNNNNNNNNNNNNNNNNNNNNNNNNNNNNNNNNNNNNNNNNNNNNNNNNNNNNNNNNNNNNNNNNNNNNNNNNNNNNNNNNNNNNNNNNNNNNNNNNNNNNNNNNNNNNNNNNNNNNNNNNNNNNNNNNNNNNNNNNNNNNNNNNNNNNNNNNNNNNNNNNNNNNNNNNNNNNNNNNNNNNNNNNNNNNNNNNNNNNNNNNNNNNNNNNNNNNNNNNNNNNNNNNNNNNNNNNNNNNNNNNNNNNNNNNNNNNNNNNNNNNNNNNNNNNNNNNNNNNNNNNNNNNNNNNNNNNNNNNNNNNNNNNNNNNNNNNNNNNNNNNNNNNNNNNNNNNNNNNNNNNNNNNNNNNNNNNNNNNNNNNNNNNNNNNNNNNNNNNNNNNNNNNNNNNNNNNNNNNNNNNNNNNNNNNNNNNNNNNNNNNNNNNNNNNNNNNNNNNNNNNNNNNNNNNNNNNNNNNNNNCGUUUUAAUCGUGGUAUUAUAGGAGCAUACCACAUAACCUUGGCUGGAAUUUUCUUCCUAUGACGUUCUUCACCCUCAACAUCGCCAGGAUCAUCUCGUCUAAUCUUAUACCGUGAUGCCUUACAUACUGGACAUGCAUCCAAAUUCUCGUAUUCCUCCCCACGGUAGAGGAUGCAGUCAUUAGGACAUGCGUGUAUCUUCUGGAUUUCUAAUCCCAAAGGGCAGACAACCUGUUUUGCUUCAUACGUAGUGGUGGGCAAUUCGUUGCCUUUCGGAAGCAUCUUUUUUAUGAUCUUCAAUAACUGCCCAAAUGCCUUGUCAGAUGUACCAUUCUUUGCCUUCCAUUGCAGCAAUUCUAGUGUGGUACCCAGCUUUUUUUGCCCCUCUUCAGCGGUGGGAUAUAGCGAUUUCCUGUGGUCCUCUAGCAUGCGCUCGAACUUGGCUUUCUCUUUAUCACUUUCACAUUCUCUUUGUGCAUCACGGAUGGCAUCACCAAAAGCAUCAUCGCCCCGAUCAUCUUCUGCCGCCACCUCUUCUUCAUUAUCUCCCCCCAUUGCAACAUCAUUGAAGCCACCGUACUGAGCAAUAAUAUUGGCAUGGUCCAAUUCUUCUUCUUCUUCUUCUUCACCUUCAUCCAUUAUAAUCCCGCUUUCUCCAUGUUUGGUCCAACAAAUAUAGUUUGGUACGAAACCAGACUUUAAUAAGUGUGAAUGAAGAGUUCUUGAGUUAGAAUAUUCCGUCAAAUUCUUGCACACGGCACAUGGACAGCACAUGAAACCGUCCCUCUUAUUUGACUCGGCCACACUUAAGAAAUAGUGCACGCCAUUAAUGAACUCUUCGGAGCGCCGAUCGGCAUUAUACAUCCAAUUACGUGUUACCAUCUGCAUUAAAGAUAACAUAUAUAUUAUGAAAACCAUGCACACAUAUAGUUUCUCAUCUUAUUGCACAACAUGUCUAAGAUACAUAGUUGAUUAAUUUAGAAAAGCUUGGCUACAACAAAUACAAUCGCAACUAGCAUUAAAAAAAAUAAAACUAAAAUGCACUUAAGCAACAUAAUUAGUUCGCGUCCGAUCCCAACUAUAAUAGAUAGAUCAUUCGCUUGAUCAACUUCAUUGAACUUCUUUCGUCGGCUCACUGCCUCACCACCUUCAGCCUCAACCACCUGUGCAAAAGAUUUCUUAAUGUGUUCAAUGUAUUCUUCCUCCCAGUACCAACCUGUACAUCCGCCGGUACCGUCCCACUGAAAUUAAAAGAGAGAAUCAAAAGUUUAAUUAAUAUCAUUUAAAAAAAUAUGCACAUAUAUAAGCAAAUGUCUGGAAAUAACUCACAUUACGAUCUGGACACUUGUAGAAUAUACGACCCUUGUUUACUCCCUCUUUCGACACUUUGUACUCCAUCAAAAUCUUCUGCCCACACUUGCCACAAGUAAUGAGAGGGAGUUCCGGACGGUAUCGCUUUUGAACCCGUUGAGAGACGGAAGACCCGGUCACGGUUGCCAUCUACUAUCCAUACUCAAUUUUAAAACAAUUAUAAAUUCCACAUUUACUAGUAAACAUGUAUGAUACAAUGGACAUUAUAUGUAGUAAUAAAAAUAAAUCAAGUGAUAUUAACAAACCAAUUAAUUUGAACUAUCCUACUUUCUAUGAUCAUAAAAAUAUACUAUAAUUCAUUCUUGCAAAAUAUAUUAAAACUAGGUCAACCAUGAAAUAUGAUAUAUAUAUAUGGAUACUAAUUCAUGUGAAUGAUUCAAAAUAACAAAGUGGAUUUGAGCUAAAAAAUGAUGGGAACAUCACAAGCCAAAAACAACAUGAAAAAGACAAGAAAGGCUGAAGUUAGUCACCUCUAAGCGCGAAGAGACGAUGACGGAGUCGAAGAAGAUCAACGAUGGGCGUUGGAGAUGAAGAACAAAUGAAGAACAAGCAAGAAGAAGCUCCAAGAACAACAAUGGUGCUCUCGGUUUCAAAUGGGCAGAGGGGAGGAGGGAGCCGGCCUAUAAACCGGACCUUUAGCACCGGUUCAGAGCAAAAACCGGUGCUAAAGGGUUACCUUUUAGCACCGGUUUGUAACACAAACCGGUGCUAAAGGGUUUGCCUCGGCCCGUGGCUCUGGCCGGUGCUAAAGGGACCCCUUUAGCACCGGUUCUUGUUAAAAACCGGUGCUAAAGGGUCCCUGCCCCGACAGCACAUGUCAGUAGCCGUUGGGCAGGACCCUUUAGCACCGGUUUGUCACACGAACCGGUGCUAAAGGGGUCUUUAACCCCGGGCCGCAAAAAGGCCGAGGUUUUUGGCCAUUUUGGGCAUCGACCAAUGCCUCAUUCUGUAGUCACUCUAGUAUCACACAGAGACUACCAUAAAAUUUUCAUGGCAAACUAAACAGUAUAACAAGAGAUAUGAAUUUACCCAUGAAUAACAAUAAAUAUUUUCUCAAAACAUAGUUCAUUUUAUAUUUUUAUUAAAAACUAGCCAUCUCAAGGAACAUCACAAAAUUGGUUUCACAAUUUUUGGAUCACCAGAACUAGAGAUAUGAUUUUUGCAAGAAAGCCAAAAAUCCAGAUUUUGAAUAAAAGAAAAGGAGGGAAGGAUGACACUGACAGUGGACCCCGUCUGUCAGGUUCUUCUCCCUCACGGCCGCGGCGACUCUCGCCGGCGAUUUCUCCGCGACGGCGAGGUCUCCGGCCAAACCAAGGGCACCAACGUGAUCCCCAGACCCUGGCGACUCGACUGAUCCCCUUUUUCCCACAGCGGAGCCACCGGAAGGAGCUCGCCGUCGACGAUGGCGGCUCGGCGGAGGUGCUCGGCGUUACGCCGGAGUCCUCAGGCCGGUAGAGCGUGACCUAGGGUUUCCUACAGCACUAGGGGACUACGGCGGAGCUUCCUAGGUACGUGGCUUGGCUUGAAACCUUGUGGAACAUGCUGGCCACGAGAGCACCCAUCUCCGGCGGAAACACGGCGGCGCUGCGCAUCGUGUCCGGCGACGGAGAGAUCGGUAGAGCGUCCACCAAGUGGCGCAAACGCUCGCUAAGGACCUACUCUACCUCUAGGAUCUAACCAGAGACGACGAGCGGCUUCACAGGGCUCGACAUUGAGUUCGCCGGAAAAGAUGGUCACGGCGACCUGAGUUGGGGAAGAAGAAAAUGGCGGCUCACCGGUGGGUUUCGCGGCGAGCUAGAGGGUGGAAAGUGAAGAGAGGCUCACGGCGGAGCUUUGGGUGAAGUUUGGUGGGCUGAGACGCAGCGAGGAGCGCACACGAGCUCGCCGGAGUGAGCUCGCGACGGUGAGCUCGCUGCGGGCGCUCUUCUGGCGAGAGAGGGCAAGGAUGGCGAGAGUGGACGCGUCCACUAUGUCCGGGGCGUCGCCGUGGACGUCAUGCGCACGCCGGUCGGCCACGUCGGCGAGCUCAAACCUGAUUCAGACAAAACGAUGGCCGACUGACAGAGCUACUUUGACAACGAUUUACUCCCAAACCAGAGCGAAUUAGGACAUGAUGUAGUUGACAAAGUUGGAGUGCUAGCCGAGAUCUACAACUUUGUCAAUUAGAGCAAAAGCUAGAUCGGCCUGGAUUGAGAGGUAUGAAGUUUUCAAAAUCGAUCGAGCAAACUGUUUGUGUUCCCGGACUUAGAAAAUUUUCUAAGUGUUGGAAACAGCCCCAAAUUUACCUUAUGGGUCAGUUUUGAGCUAUUUGUGGUCAUUUUCAUGAGAUGGCCAUAAAACAACUUUUGUUCCUUAUAAAAUUGGCUACAACUUUGCUGUAGAAAGUUUUGACAUGCAAACAUUUUAUGAAACACUUUUUAAAAGCCUAAGGAAAAGAGGUUUCUAGGGCCUAUUUACACAAGUAUGACUUAAGGGCAUAUUUUGGAGAAGUGAUCAAUAUGAACAUUGUUCCCAAGGUUAAGUUAAGCAUAAAUAAACUAAUUACCAAGGCCUAGAGCACAAACACAAGCAUGGUCACUCAAACAUAAGCAUAGGAAGCCUAUUUAAGCAAUUUAGAUCACAUAUUUGCAUAGAAUGACAUGGCUCAAGAUAGAUGAUGAUCAUGAUAUGCUUUGAGUAGAUGAUGAUGCUCAUGCUAUGCACAGGAUUAAUGCAACCAUAACACUAGGGUGUUACACAAAUGUUAAGGCAUGCCAGCCGAUUUGACCUUACAAUCGACAAAGGUGGUAAUUCAAACAGUUUGGUCCCGACAACAGCGAUGCGCCCGGAUGUCACGGCCAAGAGGUGCUCACGCGGAACUUGAGAACACGUCGAGUUUGACUCGAUGAAUUCCUAAGAACUCAUAAUAAAAGAAAAUAUGACGAAGUCGCCGAAAAAGUAGAUGCUGGAAUAUAUGUAAAAACUUGUGUUUGAUUGAUUGAUAGAUGUCUCAUUACAUUGCCACGGGGUCUAUAUUUAUACCCUGCCUUAAAGAAUUACAACCAGACACAACUAGAAUCCGAAUUCCAAAUUAAACGGAAUCCGUAUACAAAACGAACUCUAACAACUAUAGAAAGCAUUAAACUAUCCUCCACAACUGAUUGGUGCACUGCCACAAGUCAAUCAGCAACUUCCGCGCUUUUCUUCAGAGUCGUCGGCAGACUGCCUGUUAUAGCCAUUAGCAAACACCGGCACUGGUCAUCGGCACGAACACACCACCACUUCUGGACUUGGUCAUAUUCGGUUGUUUCCCCAUCGGCACCAACCUUUAUCGGCAACUCCCGUGUAGACUAGUCACCAUUGCCCCAUCUGCCGAGCUACACUUCAUUAACUCCAGGUGCGUAUCUAAAGAUACGUGUCCAAAAGCGGUGUCAACACAUGCCCCCCAAUUUCGGAGUAUAAAAUCAUUAAUGCUCCAAAAUUCUCCUCAGUAAUGAUACCUUUCCGCAAUUACUUCCCUUGACUGAUAAUUAAUUACCAAAUCUAAACAACCUAAUCCCGACUCUCCUACAGAUUCCUCGAAUUCCUCAACAUUCCAAACCGAAUCUCCGCAGAAUGUGCUCAUCGGCAAUAUUACCGUUAGAGAGGACUGCCGAUGGACCGACCAAACGAUCUUGCACAGUAAGAUAUCUUCACCGCUCGCUAUCAAAUCACCUGCACAAUCCCUUGAUUAUCGUGCAAACAGUAACCAUAUCCACCUGAACACCCUCAGAUUUCACAGAUGCGGCAAAGAGAUAAGUCAAAUUUGCCCUUGCCCUUUUUGUCCUAUAAAUAUCUCCUUCUCUGGUACCCAUCCUCCAUCUUGUCAUUCGACAGCCUCAAAUCCACCUUCCUGGCGGCGGCAUCAUUUGAGAACUCCAAGAACUCCAGCAAGGACCUCCUCCAACAAUCUUCAAAGUCUUCGAUCUCUCCCUUUCCUUGGGAAGAAAUGGCCAUCAACUUCAUCGUCCCUGAGGUCAACCUUCCAUCCCCCUUCUUUUUGUACUUUUGCUGUACUCCUAUUCAUCUGUGAAUCUUUUUACUGAGUACCUUUUUUUCUUUUUGUUUCUUUUCUGUUCCUUCAUCCUUAAAAAUCCUUUAGGAGUUAGCCGAUAAGAUCGUGAUUCCUACCGAUCAACCUCACUUCCAGUGCCUUGGUCCAUUGGGAAACCUUGAUCCCACCGAUCUGAUAAACGCAGAGACAAAUAGGAUCCCUUUCAGAGCUGAAAAUUUCUCCUUAGAUCUGUGGAAAGAUGCUUUCCGUUCCUGGCCUAGCCCCACCAAGGGAUGGAAAGACUGGUUCCUGAGAAUUGGCAAUUCAAAUGAAGUCCAAUGGGGAGAACGGAAAUUGGACCAAUGCAUUAGGCUAUCCAUUGCCGAUAUGGAGAGGAACGAGUCGCUACUGAUAGCUACCUCAUACUUUUGGUCAAACACUCUUAAUGCUUUCUUGUUCGGUCAUGGUCCUGCUUCUCCUACUCUUGCCGAUGUACUCAUGCUCACCAGCUUAGAUAUAUCAACUACUGAUAACAGUCACCUGUUUGAUAAUAAACCUAGUUCCAAGGUAGAAACUCGCAGCAUCAGUGGCUGGUCUGGGUACAUUCAGAAGUACCGAAAAACAGGGUCUAUUGGGGAAAGGGAACAUGCCAUCUUUCUGAAUAUGUGGCUUGAUAAGUUUGUAUUCUACCGUCGAUCGGUAGGACCAACCUCUAUUUACUUAUCGGCAGCAGAAAGACUGGCCACUGGUGGCCGAUUUCCUCUUGGCCGAUAUCUGCUUGGCUCUGUCUAUCACCUCCUCCACCAAGUAGCUGAGAAACUCCUGCUAGGCCAAUCCAUCGACAACUUGGGAGGUCCCUGGUGGUUUAUCAACAUGUGGCUCAGCGUUCACAUGCAUAAGCGCCUUGAAUUCAACCUCUUCUCACAGCGCUUCCCCAGAGACAUAGCUGAAAAUUAUGAACUGGAUGAGGAAGAAUCGGCAACUCGCCCCCCUUUGAACUAUGGUGAAGCUGCCAUAGUUUUACCUGGUACUGGUGGGAAUGAAGACCAGGUCAGCCGAUUCUUCCAGACUCUCUAUGAGGGUCUGACCAAAGACCAGCAGGCAUGGAUGCCCUAUGAAGAUAUAGAAACCAGAUUCCCACUCACUUUCCACCCCUUCGACAACGCCCUCAAUAAGGACCUGCAAUCUCACCUAUGAGUUCUACAACCCAUCGGCAUUGGCCCGUCAUCUGGCCUUUGGACAGCUACCAAUUGCACUCUGCUAUGCCGAUGUGGUGAAGCCGAGGGAGAUCAUCACCAGCGGUCUUGAGUGGAUUGUUGACAGUCCUUAAGUACUAAAAUUAACAAUCAAAUAAACAUGGAAAAGGAUCAAUAUGCACCAAACAUCUAGAAUUAGGUUUUUAUCUGACAGAAUUCCACAAGCUUUGGUGUUUAUCUAUUUCUGCAGGGGGUUAUCAGAGAAUAUGGAGAGAAGGCCCACAUGUCAUGUUUACAAUGAGAUAAUUACAUGCCGCGCAAUUUUCCUCAAUCUAGAAGAGUCCAGAAGCCACGGGAACGAACGAGAAGACGAUCGGGCUCGGGGGCAGGGCGCCCGCCAAGGGUUAGAGUCCAAUCAGGACCCUCUUUCGAGACUACGCUCCACCGACCUAAAGGAUGAAUCUAAACCAUACAAUCAAUGUCGGUUUGAUCCAACGACCCAAAUUCACUUGAAAGGACUAUAUAACCAAGGCCUCUCCACCCCUGGAGGAGAGAAGAGAAGAGGAGAAAUCAUUAUCAGAGGUAGCCAUUAAAGUUAGGGUUUAGAGCUUCUCUCCCACAGAGAAUUAUAAUUAGAUACUCCCUAAUCCUUCAAGUUUAGAGGUUUUAUUAGAUAGCAAUUAGAGAAGUAGAGCACUACGCUCUGGAUUCGGAUCUUCGGUAAUAAAGAUUGGUAUUAUUCAUAUCUUUCUAUAAUACUUUGCUCUAAUUACAUUAUGUCUCUAUUUAUUAUGCUCUUAGUUUGCUCUAGUUCUAUAUUUGAUAUAGUUAUGAUUGAUAAUGAGUUUAUGUAUAAGUUUGCAAAGCGCUUAGCUCUUGACGCGAGGGAGUUAAGUGGUAGAUCACAUGUGGGCGUGGUGCUUAGAUGUUAUUUACCUGCAAAUGUAUCCUAUUGGCCGGGUUGUGUGGUAGUUCGCGAUAGUGACAGCUUCGUUGAUUCUUAUAUAGUCCACCCUCCAUUGAUAGGACAGGCAGAACUUGUAUUGCGGAGUAAUUCUUGCGAUGUUCUGAUUUACUUUAGCAAUGUUCCUUAUACAUGAAUGAAGAGUCUUUUAUGCUAUAUAUGAUCUUGUAGAUAACUAGAGUAGAUUGUGACUUAAUAGAUAGUAGAUAACUUAGAAUCCAUUCUCUAGCUAAUCCGACGUCACCUACAUAUAUGAGGAGUAGUCUAUUUUCAAAUCACUGUGUUAUUUACCCAUGAACUUAUAAUUCAUUAUCAUUAUGUUUAUGGUUUACCCCCUACCAAAGUAAGUGACUGUGUGAUGAGUUUCUCAUUAGUAAUCAUGUUCUUGCAAGUUUAUCUCUAGUCUAUGCCUUGAUAGAUUUUGUCCUUAAUUUAAUUUCAUUCCUUUUGUUCUCUUAAGCAAAAUUAUAAAUAACGAUACCUGGAAUACUUAUCCUGGUGAAAUGCUACAAUGAGGUGUUUUAUCUGUGCGCUUGCGGAUAGAAUAGAUUAUUUUCUAGAGAGCCUUUACAUUUAUAAAUACCUUUGUACACUCUGGCACCAUGCUGGGGAUGACAACCCAGUAUCUAAGUGGUGUUAGCUAGUGUCAACAUGGAUCAGAAUAGCUCAACUCCCACCAAAUGCCGAUACAUUAGACAUUGAUUUAUCGGCUUGGAUCCCAGCUCUCUUCAUCACCCAGGCAUACAAACAGUGGUGGGCAGAGUGGAAAGAGCACCCGUUCUACAGAUCGGCCCUUACAUACCGUGGCAUGAUCAACCCCAAGCAGAAAAUCCCUGAGAAUACUGUAAGUCUUCAACCGAUACUUCAAUACUUUCAUUAUUUUUACUCCUAUCGGUAACUCACUUUUCUCUUUUUAAAUAGGUCAACGACACACCACUAACAGUCAGCAGGAGCGGAAAGCAGAUCGAACUCCUUCCAUCAGGCCCGAUCUCCCUCAUCGGCAACAACGCACCAACCCUGGCAGCUCUGAUGCACCAGAAUGUGCGUUUCAAGAAGAUAACCACCAAACGAGCAAAUACAUCUCCAUCAGUCGCUGCUGCCACCUUAGCACAAGCUUUCAAGGUGAAUCCCUUGAUUUCCCUAAUUCAUGCCGAUUUCAUUCUAUACUCACACCAUCUUUUUAGGAUACAUCGGCCGCUAUGGGAGCUCCAUCGAUAACUUUUACUGUUUCAACCAGAAUUUCAUUAAUAUUAUGUUACACUUGUACUUAUGAAACUUUCGUUGUAUCAGCAAACUAGCAAAUCGGCAAAGACCAGAAGUGCUAAGACAAGUGCCGAUGGCCCCCAGUCCAGUCAAGCUAAGAGAAAAGCCCCCAAGAGUACCAAGACACGACCAAAACUCCAGAAGACAGCACCACCUUCUUCUCCUCCUCCAGUAUCGCCGAUUCAUGUGGAUUCGUCCCCUUCUUCACCAGAACUCCACACUCAGCAAGCACCAUCUCCACCUCAGCCAGAAGAGACAUCAGCCGAUGUACUUGAACAAACUGUCGAUCCAGUAGGUUCAAUCAUAUCAUCGGUAGUUUCCUCAAUUCAGACAAGCACUACACCCCCUCAAGGUAAAGUACUGUCUAUAAAAUUAUCGCCGAUGGAUCUGUUUCUUCAACUUAUAACGAUCAUUAUUAUGUUUUCAACUGACAUUGUUCCAUCGGCAACUCCAGCUGAUCAACCCGUGGUGCCAUCAGCAUCAACUAGCCAAAGACAAGAAAUAGCUCUGAAACGAGAAAGUUAUUUGAUUCUCGUCCUUUACUUUACUAAUAUUUGAUCAUCAAAUAACCUAUCUCCUUUUCCUUUUCAUGAACAAGAUUCUCCCGAUAGCCUAUUCUCUUUCACCAUUGAAAUUUCCGAUGAUGAGGGUGAGGAAGCAAGCUCUUCUCAAGCAAUCGGAAUUUCAUCGGCAGAAAUCAGAGCAAAGCUGGAAGAUCUGCUGGCCUUGCUUCAUCAGGAUAUAGCUCAACUGGUUGAUGACUCCGAUCCAGCCAAGGCUUUGUUUAAAGCUCUUAGAGGCCAAAUCCCUACCGAUGCCGAAGAGGUCCUCUUCAAGGCUGCACACUUGGAGAGCCGCCAACUCCAGUACCAAAAGGCUACUCAGCGUCUUGCCGAUAGAGCCACCCAUGCCCAACUCUCAGAGGAGGUAAUGAAAGUGAAACAUCUUGCCGAUGAGAAACAUAAGAGCAUCGGCAUUCUACAAUCCUCGGGAGAGACAUUGAGGCAGAAGAUCUCUGACCUAUCGGCAAAAAGGAAAACCCUGUUGGCAGAGCUCAAGCAAGUAGAAGAGGCUCUUUCCCAAGCUCAGCAAGAAGAAAAUCAGCUGCCCGAAAUGAUCAAGACCCUCGAACAAGAGCGAAACAUUCUAGCCCACAAGGCACUGCAGAUGAAGAAGAAGCUGAGGCCAGUGGAGGGCUCUGCCGAUGAAGACAUCAAGGAGAUAGAAGAAGCCGAUCAAAUUUGUCUGCGCGCCAUAUCGGCAAUCCAAGCUCUACUGAAUGUAAUCGGCGGCGUGUUUUACUCUUCCUUCAGAAGCUUCUUAUUAUUUUGGUCUAGCCGAUAGGACUGUUAUCGGCAUUCUUUUUAAAACAUCGUAUUCAGUCCCAGACACAUUUUAAUCCAACCGAUAGGAGUGUUAUCGGCACUUAAAUUGUCAUGCAUCGACCCAUAUGCUUGGGUAAUACUUCUUUAAAUAUUUUCCAUUCAAUGCUCUGGGAAAUUCAACUCCUUCGAGAGUUUCCACAAUAUAAGCAUUACUAGGAGCAGACCGAUUUAUUCGAUAAGGACCUUCCCAAUUAGGAGACCAUUUACCAAACUUUGAACUUUUAGUCCCAAUCGGUAAUAUUAGUUUCCACACCAAAUCUCCAUCGGCAAACUCCUUAGCUUUUACCUUUUUAUCAUACCACCUAGCAACUCUCUUUUUAUUUUCUUCUAUACUCAUCAAAGCCUUCAGCUGAUGCCCUGCUAAAUCAUCCAACUCAUCUUUCAUCAAAGUAGCGUAGUCAUCGGCAGUCAGCUGAUCUUGAAAAGAUAGUCGCCUAGAUCCGGUCUUAAUUUCCCAUGGUAGCACUGCAUCGUGUCCACAUACCAUUGAUAAGGUGAAACUUUAGUCGACCCAUGGCAUGCCAUCCGAUACAACCAUAAAGCUUCACUUAACAAUGUAUGCCACCUUCUAGGAUUUUCUUCAAUCUUUCGUUUGAUGAGUUUAAUAAUUCCUUUGUUAGACGCCUCGGCCUGCCCGUUGGCUUGAGCAUAAUAAGGGGAAGAAUUCAAUACUUUAAUCCCCAUACCGAUUACAAAUUCACCAAACUCUCCUGAUGUAAACAUGGUACCCUGAUCGGUAGUAAUUCUUUGAGGAAUACCAAAUCGGUAAAUAAUAUGCUCUCUCACAAAAUCAAUCAUAUUGGCCGAUGUUUCUUUCUUCAAAGGAAUAGCUUCAACCCACUUAGUGAAAUAAUCAGUGGCGACUAAGAUGAACUUAUGCCCUUUGCUUGAUGGUGGGUAAAUCUGGCCGAUUAGAUCAAUAGCCCAUCCCCAGAAUGGCCAAGGUUUAAUAAUGGGAUUCAUAGCCGAUGCGGGUGCCCUUUGAAUAUUGCCAAACUUUUGACAUCCUUGGCAUCCUUUGAAAUAUUUAAAACAAUCUUCGAGUAUGGUUGGUCAAUAAUACCCGUUUCUCCUAAUCAUCCAUUUCAUCUUAAAAGCCGACUGAUGUGCUCCACAUACUCCUUCAUGGAUUUCUCCCAUGAAACUUUUAGCCUCAUCAUCACCUAAACAUUUGAGAAGAACUCCAUCUAUUGUUCGAUAAUAAAGCUCAUCCCCAAGGAGUACGUACUUAGUAGCUUGAAACAUGACACGCCUCUCAACCAUUUUAGAUGGAUCCUUUAAAUAAUCAAUGAUCUCCUUUCUCCAAUCAUCAGCACCGAUUGUCGAUAACGUGUUAAAUAUGGGUCGAUAUCCCGAGGCAUCCUGAGCCAACCGAUUAGCCUCCUCAUUAUGCAAUCGAGGAACAUGCUCUAAUCGGAAAUCCUUGAAUUCCUUUAAUAGCUGCAUACUCCGUUCAUAAUAAGUUAUAAAGACUUUGCUUCGGCAUUCAUAAAUCUCAGCCCGCUGACUUAUAACAAGCAUAGAAUCGCCGAAGAUCUCAACAGCACUAGCAUAAACCUCUUUUAACAAUUCCAACCCUUUGAUCAAAGCUUGAUAUUUAGCUUGAUUAUUGGUGGACGUAGCAACAAUCGGCAGAGAAAACUCAUACUUCUUUCCCUCAGGAGAAACCAAUACUAUACCGAUUCUUGCCCCCCGGUCACACGUGGAUCCAACAAAGAAGAGCGUCCAAGGAACAAUUUCCAAAGUACCCAUCAUACCGCAAUGUUGAGCCACAAAAUCGGCCAUAAUCUGUCCUUUAACUGCUAGCCGAUUCGUAACGUAGAUCAAAUUCCGACAAUGCCAAAUUCCAUUUACCGAUUCUACCACUAAUAAUCGGCAUAGAUAACAUGUAUCGGACUACAUCAUUUUUGCAUAUAACAGUGCAUUCGGCCGAUAGCAAAUAGUGCCUUAACUUGAUGCAUGAAAAAUAUAGGUAUAAACAUUAUUUUUCUAUUGCCGAAUACCUAGUCUCAGCAUCAAUCAGUCUUCUACUUAAAUAAUAAAUCACACGCUCCUUCCCUUCAAAUUCUUGAAUCAAAGCCGAACUGAUGACCAUCCCAUCGGUAGACAAAUAUAAUCUGAAGGGUUUUCCUUGCUGAGGUGGAAUUAGGACUGGAGGAUUUGUCAAAUAAUUCUUGAUUUCAUCCAAGGCUGACUGUUGCUCUUUUCCCCACACAAACUCUUGAUCGGCUUUCAAUUUAAGUAAAGGAUUGAAAGCACAAAUUUUACCAGACAAAUUAGAUAUAAACCACCUGAUAAAAUUUACCUUGCCGAUCAAAGACUGAAGUUCAGUUUUAUUGGUAGGAGCAACUAUCUUGUUGAUGGCUUCAAUAGAUCUCCUACUAAUUUCGAUUCCUCUUUGAUGUACCAUGAAACCAAGAAAUUGCCCUGUCGAUACACCAAAUGCACACUUGUUAGGAUUCAUCUUUAAGCCAUGUUUCCUUGUGCACUCCAACACCUUUCGCAAAUCGGCAAGAUGCUUUGUGAAAUCCCCAGACUUAACCACCACAUCAUCAAUGUAAAUUUCUACCAGCUUGCCGAUGAACUCAUGAAAGAUAAAAUUCAUGGCCCUCUGAUAAGUAGCACCAGCAUUUUUCAAGCCAAAGGUCAUGACUAUCCAUUCAAACAGCCCAACGUGACCGGGACAUCUAAAUGCGGUCUUUGGAAUAUCUUCUUCUGCCAUGAAUAUCUAAUUAUAUCCUGCAUUACCAUCCAUGAAGCUUAUGAUCCGAUGUCCAGCCGCAGCAUCGACUAGCAAAUCGGCAACUGGCAUUGGGUAACCAUCCAUCGGUGUAGCCUUGUUAAGAUUCCUAAAAUCGAUGCAAACCCGAAGCUUCCUAUUUUUCUUGUAAACAGGAACGACAUUGGAAAUCCAUUCGGCAUACCGACACUACCAAAUAAAUUUAGCUUCAAUAAGUUUAGUUAUUUCGGCCUUAAUAUCAAGAAGAAUAUUAUGAUUACAUCGGCGAGCUGGCUGCUGAUGCGGCCGAAAUCCAGACUUGAUAGGUAACCGAUGUUCAACAAUCGAUCGGUCUAAACCAGGCAUCUCGGUAUAAUCCCAAGCAAAGCAAUCUUUAUAUUCCUUUAACAAAUCGGCUAACUGUUGCUUAUACUCAGAAUCUAACUUAGCAUAAAAGUAGGUCUUGGUUUAUCACCAUUACCUAUAUCUACUUCUACUAAAUCAUCGGCCGAUGUAAACCCCUGGCCUAAUUUUCCAUCAUCGGCGAACCUAUCCAUUAAAACUCUUCAUCAGAACCGACUGCUUGGAUCGGUGGAAUCUCGUAAUCAGCAACCUUGAGAAAAUCCUUUUCCCAAAUCUCCCCUGAAAUGCAUCUGGUCCUUUCAUAAGUGUCCGCCUUUGCUGAUGCUAUAACAUAUGAAGAAUCUCCUGGGAUAAUCUCAAUCUUGUCACCUACCCACUGAACCAAGCAUUGGUGCAUUGUGGAUGGGAUGCAACAAUUAGCAUGUAUCCAAUCUCUUCCCAAUAGUAGAUUAUAAGCACCCUUUCCACUGAUAACGAAGAAAGUCGUCGUUAAGGUUUUGCUGCCGAUAGUCAACUCGACACAUAUUGCUCCUUUGACCGGAGACACAUUCCCUUCAAAGUCCUUCAGCAUCAUAUCGGUCUUGGUCAAGUAUUGAUCUCCUUUCCCAAGCUUCCGAUAGACUGCAUACGGCAUAAUAUUGAUAGCAGCCCCACCAUCAACAAGUAUAUUGUUUAUCGGCUGCCCAUCAACCAUACCUUUGACAAACAGAGCUUUAAGAUGUUGUCUUUCAUUGUCGGUUAGCUUUUCAAAGAUAGCCGUCAUUGGAUCCAGAGUCAACUGAGCUAUCUGGUCAGAAAAAUCCACCUCUUCAUCAUCACUGGACGGCGCAAGGAACUCCAUCGGCAAUAUAAAUACCAUAUUGACAUCUGCCGAUGGCCCUUUUCCAUUAGGAUCUAGCUGUUGCCGAUCUUCAGACUUAGCAGAAUUUUAUCCUUUGCUCAGCUCUUCUCGUCUUUCACGCUGCAGUCUUCUUUUCUGUGUCCUAGUCAGCCCCACUGGACACCAUGGAGGAAGUUGAGGCUGCCUUACCGAUGGGCGACGAUUUUCCCUUGAUUCCACCCGAUAAGUAUUAGCAUCCCUGCAAAAUAUGAACUCAUCGGGAACUCGUGCAUCUGCCAUCUCCUCAAGCUCCUCUUAGUUCCUAGGAAAAUAUCCGACAUGGUCACCAAGUCUAUCAUGCACACUGAGUCUGCCCCCCAGCCGAUCAUGAACUGAAGCUCUCCCCCUAGUCGGCCCAUUAAAUCGCCGAUCAUCAUUGUGAUACUGCCGAUUAGGUCUAUCAUAUUGAUCAUAACCAUUGCACUCAGGGCAAUCUCUAACAGUGGGUAGUUUAAUGUUUUUCUCCUAGCAAUUUAUGAAGAACGGGCAAUUCCAAUGAUCCUUGUGCCGAUUCCACUCCUGUCGGCGUCUUUCUUCUUCCCGACGAUGAUCCUCCUGUUGGCGCCGGUACCGAUCUUCACGUUGCUGCCAGGUCUGCCGAUGCCUUCUAUGAGUAAUUACAAUACCAGAUCGGGGAGGUCUUCCUGAGCAGGUCCCUUCCUAAAUCAGACCCUUGCCUUUGGCGUCAUCGGUAGUAAUCUAAUGUUGAGGAUCCACCGAUGCGUUUCUUUCAGCUACCUCUGAUGUCAAGACCUUGGUCUUCCCUUAGCAUCCAACAUAUUUGUAGGGAACAGAUGCUGGUCGAUUUUCAUCGGCUUCUGAGUUUUGGAACUAUCGAAUUUAAUUCUCUCAGACUCUAUAGCCGACUUCAGCUGUUGCCUGAAAACCUUGCACUCAUUUGUGCUGUGAGAUGUUGCAUUGUGCCACUUGCAGUACUUCAUCUUCAUUAAUUCUUCAGCUGAUGGAAUCACAUGGUUGGAUGACAAUUUGAUUUGACCUUCCUGAAGUAGAAAGUCAAAUAUCCUAUCGGCUUUGGUGAUAUCAAAUGCAAACUUUUCUAGUUCUUUAUGCCCAAAAGGGCAAGACAUCGGCUUCUUGUUUUUCACCCACUCUGCCAAGCCGAGGACUGGUUCUUCAUCAGAGUCUGAGCUUGCCGCUUCAUCAACAAAUGACACCUUUUUAUUCCAUGCCCUUUUUGGUUCAAAGGCCUUGAUAUCUUGGUCUGAGAUUCUCUGCACCAAAUGACUCAAACUUUCGAAAUCUUGAGAAGCAUACUUGUCUCUGAUAUGUGGCAAUAAUCCCUGGAAAGCCAAAUUGGCUAGCUGCCGAUCAUCUAGAACCAGACUAUAGCACUUAUUUUUGACCUCUCACAACCUUUGCACAAAACUCCCAACCGAUUCAUCAUUACGUUGCUUCAGCCUGACUAAAUCAGUAAUCUUCUUCUCAUAAACUUCAGAAAAGAAGUAUUUAUGGAAUUGUUUCUCCAGAUCGGCCCAAGUAAUCACUGAAUUAGGAGAUAAUUAAAUAAACCAAGUAAAGGCCGAUCCAGACAAAGAUGAUGAGAACAAGUGAACCCUUAAUUCAUCUCUGUUAGCAGCUUCUCCACACUGGAUGAUGAACCUGUUAACAUGCUCCAUAGUAGAUGUAUCAUCCUGUCCAGAAAACUUAGUGAAAUCUGGUACCUUAUACCGAUUUGGAAGUGGAAUUAAAUCAUAUGCAGGAGGAUACGGUGUCCGAUAAGAGUAAGUGUUGACUUUGGGUUUUAUCCCAAAUUGGUCUCUCAUCACUUCAGCUAUCUUAUCGGCCCAAUAAGCAUCGGCAUCCUGCCGAUGAGGUGGUUGUGGAUCUGGCACCUGCUGAUAAGCUUCCACGUGUCUCUGAGGUGCACGAUCUCCAUAGAACAUUGGGUUAAUCAUCGCCUACUGACCACCAAGCUGCUGACCAAGAUUCAUUGGCUGGUUGAUCAACCCUUGAUUCUGAAACCCUGCUUGGACUAGUCCUUGUUGAAACCCUACAGCCUGAUGAUUCUACUGAGGCAUCUGUGGAAAGACAAACUGCCCGGUCCAUCCACCAUUAGCAUUCAUCGGCAUAGGUCCUGCCGAUGACUGGUAAUUGGGCAUCAUCAUUGAAUUGACAUACACUGGCUAUGUCAUAAACCUCUGCUGCGUCGGCAUUGGAUCUGCCGAUGAGUUAGGUAUCUAAAACAUUGGCACUUGAGAAUUCCCAGUGUAAGGUCUUGCCGUAGUAGUUGUAGAAUACUGGGGAUUCUGAUUGAUCGGCGGAUUUGGAGGUGCUGAUGCCAUAGGAGCCUUGCCUGUCACGUCAGCCACUUGAGAUGUUCCAAGACUUUUUGCCAUCAAUUCUAGGGGCAUACCAUAACCCUACAAUUUAGGAGGAACAGUUCCUGACAUAAGCUUGAUUUGCCCAUCUAAUGUUGAUGGAUUAGUUGUCAUCGGUGUAGAUUGCGCAUUAAUGAUCCCUAAUGUGCUUGGAGGAGAAGUAGCUUCUGUACCCGCAACGGCUGUAGUAGCUGAUGGAGUCGUGACCAAUGAUGACCCUGGCUGAUGAUAGGCAGGACCCACAUAAGAUGGUGGUACUUGUCCUUCUUUGAAAGUUCUAGCCAUAGCAUUGAAAACCAUGUUGGACAGCACACCAGCUUGAUUGAUCAAGGCACGGUUAAUAGCACUGUCAACCAUGUCUUGAAGUUUACCAGGAUUGGCUUCAAAAGUAAUUUGUCGAGGCAUCGGCAAUGCUUCCUUCUGGAUCACCUCACCACUCCUGUUGAUACUGAUAGAUUUCAAGCAUAGCUGCUUGUAGUCCUCCAUGGCUUUUGCCAUAGCUUGCUUCUGCUCAUCUCUGAGAUUGGCUUCCGUCACGGGGAUGACAUUCUCCAAGUCGAAAUUGGUGUUCGACAUGUUGAUCUUGAUCUUUGAAUCUCUGUCCCACCGGGCGUGCCAAAAUAUGUGUUGAUGCAAAAGCUGAUCUGCAAACAUAAAGGGCUAAUACCCGAUUCAAACGUUAAGGCGUGCCAGCCGAUUUGACCUUACAAUCGACAAAGGUGGUAACUCGAACACUUUGGUCCCAACAACAGCGAUGCGCCCGGAUGUCACGGCCAAGAGGUGCUCACGCAGAACUUGAGCACACGCCGAGUUUGACUCGACGAAUUCCUAAGAACUCGUAAUAAAAGAAAAUAUGACAAAGUCGCCGAAAAAGUAGAUGCUAGAAUAUAUGUAAAAACUUGUGUUUGAUUGAUUGAUAGAUGUCUCAUUACAUUGCCACGAGGUCUAUAUUUAUACCCUGCCUUAAAGAAUUACAACCAGACAUGACUAGAAUUCGAAUUCCAAAUUAAACGGAAUCCGUAUACAAAAUGAACUCUAACAACUAUAGAAAGCAUUAAACUAUCCUCCACAACUGAUUGGUGCACUGCCACAAGUCAAUCGGCAACUUCCGCGCUUUUCUUCAGAGUCGUCGGCAGACUGCCUGUUACAGCUAUCGGCAAACACCAGCACUGGUCAUCGGCACGAACACAUCACCACUUCUGGACUUGGUCAUAUUCGGUUGUUUCCAAAUCGGCACCAACCUUCAUUGGCAACUCCCCUGUAGACUAGUCACCAUUGCCCCAUCUGCCGAUCUACACUUCAUUAACUCUAGGUGCAUAUCUAAAGAUACGUGUCCAAAAGCAGUGCCAACAGAAGGGCAACACUUGGAAGAAGAAAAAGGUCAAGGCUAAGGAUGAGAUCUAUAAGCUGAACCCACCUGCACCAAAGGCUGGCCCAGAUGCUGAUGCUCAGUGCUUUCACUGUAAGGCGAAAGGUCACUGGAAGAGAAACUGCAAGUUGUACUUGGCGUCCUUGAAGAAGGAUGGUAGUGGUAAAGGUACUUCCGCUGCUCAUACACUUAUUAUUUAUGUUACAGAUAUUUUACUCGCUAACUCUUAUAUUAAUUCUUGGGUAUUUGAUACCGGAUCGGUUGCUCAUAUUUGCAAUACGAUGCAGGGAAUGAUAAGAUGUAGAAGCGUUGAAAAGAGAGAAGUUGAUUUCCGCGUGGGCAAUAAUGCAAGAGUUGCUGCGUUGAACAUCGGGAUGAUGCAACUUCAUCUACCAUCGGGAUUUAUUUUGGAAUUGAAUAACUGUUAUUUUGUUCCUAGUUUAAGUCGAAACAUUGUGUCUCCUUCAUGUCUGAUGAAGGAUGGUUAUUCAUUUGCGAGCAAAGACAAUGGUUGUGUGAUCUCUAAGAAUGAAAUAUUUGUGGCUUAUGCAUCCAUUGUGAAUGGGUUAUUUAUUUUAAAUCUUGAUGAUGCACUUAUCUAUAAUGUUAGUGCUAAAAGGCCUCGGCUUAAUGAGUUAAGUCCUACUUAUUUGUGGCAUUGUCGUUUGGGUCAUAUAAGUGAGAAUCGCAUGAAGAGGCUCCAUGAUGAUGGACUUUUAACUUCGUUUGAUUCUGAAUCAUACGAGACAUGUGAGUCUUGCUUACUGGGAAAGAUGAUGAAGGCACCUUUCACAGGUUUUCUUGAGAGGGCGUCUGACUUAUUGGAACUAGCACACUCUUUAUGCUCUGAGCAUUCGCAAAGGCUUUUUCUCCUUCAAGUGAUAGCAUUUUUCCCAGUCAUAACUCUUGAUUCACUCAAAUCCAUCGACAAUGGGACCAGCUCAAAUCCAACUUCCUAAAGAUGCCCUUUAGAUUCUUACGUUCUACACAGAUAUCACUCCUUAGACCCAAGAAGGCAGUAUCUCCAUGCUCCACUAUGGAUACCUCCACAUCACACAACAGUUAAUCCAACCCACUUAGUUGACUUAUGCACAAGCCACUACUUUUCUUGUAUGGAGCACAUCUAAGGUCUUGAUGGAAUAGAAGAACCCUAUAUGUUGAUCUUUAUAACACCUUCAGUGAACCACUGAUAGAAUCUUAUCAUUCCAAGUCAAUCUCUUAUUCACUCUUAUGUCAAGAUCACAUUGGCCCCAUCAAACCUAUCAUAGCCCCUUGCCAUAUCUAUAAAACUCUAAGUCUCAUUCACUUUCCUUUGGUGGUUUCCAACUCUUGCAUCUUUAACUUUCUUAAGUCCAUAAUUAAAGAUGACAUCUCCUAGAUGAGAACUUCAUCGACUAGAACAUACUGGUCAUGCUCCAUUUAGUAAUGAAGUCUUUUGAGUCUUCGUAGAAUCAACAGUAGAUGUAGCUUAUCCACUUCCUAAGUUGUCAAGUGACCAAUUUCACUAACUUGAGCCAGGAUAGAUGAUUAUAAUCAUGGGAUAUCUCCAGAGACACUUCUUACUUCAUGGUGAAUUGAAAGGGCAUUAAUCUAUCAUAUCAAGGUACUACCCCCCCUUAAGAUGAGAUAGGUCGGGGGACAGUUUGGACUAGCUCUCACAUUCUGUCUUAGAUGCUACACAUCAUAUAGUCUUUUAAAUUCAUUGUACCAAGUCUCAUGAUCCGGAGUUGGUUUCAUCACUAAGUUUCAACUAUUGUACCUUUAUCACCGCUGAGUUGCUUCACUCUAGCCUUUGGUGCCACCUGAUUCUCUUAAGCACCACUUCCAAUCUAUGAGUACCAGCAAUGACCUAUAUCUCUAUUCAUAUUAGCACACUUCAAUGGAACUACUUCUUGCAUCAAACCCAAAUUUACCAAACACUUGAGGUCCUCAUCGAUGAUCCAAUAUUAACCAAUACUUCUCCUUGUAACUCCUUUGAUAAGACUACCCCCCUUAGAAAAGGUAAACUAGGGGUUUAAAUGGGUAGUUUAGUCCACCUCUCAAGUGUGUUUCUUAUCACAAGUUCUUCUAAUACCGAAGAGAAGCUCAUGUGCACUGAUGUGUACAAGAAAUCUGAAUUUCCUCACAACACGAGAAACACCAGCGCAGUAAAAUAGGCAUAACUCCUUUUCUGUUAAUCCAAUAGGGUCAUAGAUUACCACUAGAAACCUUAUCAAAUUCCCUACAACUUUCAUAUAGAAGGCAUCCUUAGUUUCUGUCAUUAAACCUAGGUAAAACAGCCCAACAUGAUAUCCAUCCCGACAAUGUCUCAGCAUCCAUACAACAAUUUGCAGAAGUCAUAUCUCGAGCUACUUAGAUCAUAUGGGGACGAGUCUUACAUGGUUGAAAAUCUUAUGAAGUCCUCCACAACUUCUGUAUAUCCCACUUUUCCAGAUUCUGAUGUUAAGUUGGCUGAAAAGUAGGAAUUAACUAGAACUGUCCAGAUUUUGAACUGUGCAUCAACAGCAACUUGUAGAUGUCAUAACUCAAGUUCUGUUUAUCCGAUAAAGUUGCAGCUUGCAUCGUUGGAAAGCUUAUCAAAAGUCCUAAAACUUUAUUAUAGAACCUUUUCCCAAAUUCCGGAGUUACAUUAGUCUAAAACAGUAGGCAACUGAAACUGGUCCUGAUUCCUGACAGCUCAAUUGUACCAUCUUGUGAUUUUCAUAAUUCCCAAACCACAACAGCUAUGGGGGUGAUUCUUGUGGUCAGGGAAUGACCUUGAAGUCUACUAUCACCCAGAAUUUUUGCAUCAUUUUAUGGUCCUCCGAGAAUAGGGAUUUUAACUGAAGAAGAUAAGUUGCUCCCAAAAGACAGGGUAGAGAAAACAAUAGAAAAUAAAACCCAACUAUUUAUUCACAAGUCCUUAUAUCUUAGACCUAUAAACUAAAUGAAAUUGUGUAGAAACCCACAAGAUCAUUGCACUCAUUACAAAAAAUCCAGCUCAAACAUAAGCACUAAGACAAACCAACCAAACAUUAAAGAUUCACAAAGCACACAUAUUGACUAGACUCAACUUUUGCUACUAACGUUUAUUACAAAGGGGGACUUCCUACUUCUCAAACACGGUGUGACUGCAGCGGCAUCCAGGGUAGCAUCUCUUGCGUGGAGUUAAGCGAGGUAUGUCCUCCACCUUAUUGAUCUUAGGUAAUCCACCACGACUUCUCCACUCAUCAAUCUCAGCAAGGGCUUCCUCAUAGUGUUGCCUUACUUCUGCCAAUUCUAGUUGACUGUCUUCUAGCUUUUGAUGCAUGACUUGGAUAGUCAAAGCCAUCUCCUUUAGUUGUUCAUUAUGCUCCAUGUAGGGGUCAGCCAUCACACAUUGCAAAGUGCCUGGUGGAUGACGAGGAAGAUACUUUUGUUUGUCAUUCUUCCUCUCUUCGUAGUGCUUUCCAUGAUAUGCCAGAAGAGCUUGAUGGGCAGCAUCAGAUAUGCUAGCAUGCUUACUGAAACGGUCACUGAGAGACGAAUGAAUGGAUUCCACCACGCGUGAACCAGUAAACUCAUUCCACCUUGUGAUGUGUGCUUCUGUGCUCCAGUGGCUCUCAUACUUAGGAUGAGUCCACUUAGUGCACUUAUAUUCCACCUUAGCUUGCUGUUCAAGAUAGUGGUCUUGUAGUAUACGCACAAGCCGAGGGUGAAAGAAAUCUUCGCCACUAAAGGAUGUGGUAAAGUACUCCUUCCGCCAACAAAUAUGUCUUGAGGGGACAGGCGAGCUUCUUCAUACUCUGGUUCCGUUAAGCCAUAGAUACCCCGAGUCAAGCAUGGUCUUCCAGAGUGGCUGCGAGCAAUCUUUUCAUUACGAACCAUCUAUGGAAUUAGACCAAGAGGGAGUUAGAAUAGAAGCAAUACUUUUAGAAUAGAAUUAGAUGAUAGAAGCAUAAGAAUUUUAGCAAAUAGCAAGGGUGAGAUAGUAAGCAUGAAUGUAGUGAAGCAAAGAUGACUAAAACGACCAUUACUAUCUAGGCUUGCGUCCUACAGUCAGCAUUGCUCUGAUACCACUUUGUAGCACCCGGUUUUAAGAACAAAACCAGAUACACACCAUAUGUGAGCCCAGGGAGUCAAAUCUCACUUAUAGCAACAAAUAAGGGUAAUAUCAAUAGUCAAUGCUUAUUAUAUAACGAACUUAGUAUAAAAGAUAUAACCUUAUUUAGCAAACAGGGGAAAGACUCUCCGUUCUUCAGGCGAAAGCUCCAAAUCCACAGGGACAACUGACUGGUUGAGCACAAGCCUAAACUCUUCUCCACACUAGCAAUCUGGUACCCAUUUGGGAUUUUUAUCCAAAUAAAAUGUAAAGGCAAGCGUAAGUACAUCUCGUACUCAGCAAGAAUAACAUGGGGUUCAUGAGGCUCAAAGGCUAGACACUGUUUUAACUGCAUGUAGCUUUUAGUUGUCAUAAUUUUAGCAUAUGAGUAGCAUCAAGUUGUCAGGACCCAAAAUAAACUCAUGAUCAAGUAAAGUGAAUAAAGAAUAGCAUAAACAACAUAUUAACAACAAUAACAUUAAAGAUUUGCCAUUAGUGAUCAUUUGUUCUGUAUUGGUCCAAGGCCGCUCGUGACCGUGAGCACGGUUGAUAUAUCAGUUUUACACUCUGCAGAGGCUUUACACUUUCACUGUGAGUCAUGAUUUACCCUUUCGCCCGAGGUAGCUAAUCUCUUAACCCCCUUCCUAGGGAGGCCGACAGGGUUCACUAUGAAGCCUUUCAAUGGUUCGUCUAACAAGUUAGGGCCGCUUGGUUUUAUUAGUCAGUCCAUGUGAUUCACCCGAAGGAAUCCACGGUCUGCUAUUCCCCAUUUGCGCCAUAAGGGUAACCACUAACAAGCUAGAAAAGGUCCUCAUACUGAGCCAAAGCCAGAGCCAUGUAGACCUCACAGUUGUACUGUAUGUCCCGGAUGGUCAUAUACAGAUAUGUCCUUAUGGAGAGAAACUAGAGAACCAUAAGAUAGCCCAAUGCUCCUGCCCUCUUUUCCAAAGUUGCUAAAAAGUCCUCUUUUAAUGUUUAUUACAUAUUCCAUUACUCAAAUUACAAGAUCAUGGUUUAGUGGAGCACUAGCAUGAGCUACCCAAUGCAAAACCAUUGGUGACAAGGUAUAAGAUCAAUACUAGAAAAUCCUUAACAAGGAGACACAUGCAAUAUGAGUUGUGUGUUUAAAGUUAUUAGGAAACAAGGAUGAUCCCAUGCUAUACUUGCCUUAAAACUCAGAUCCUUAUUUUAGUUCCAAACCUUCCACAAACUACUUCUUGAUCACCACGUAAAAGCUCACCGUCUAAACUCAGUCAUCACAUCAACAACAAUCAUCGAGAGGCAAUCAUACAAAGCAAACAAACCUAUAAUUAGAACAAUACACCAACAGUAGAAAAUAAAGAUGAAAAGUUUAUAAAAUGAAUCUACGUUGCACUACGAUCACACAGACAUAAAGAUCACGAAAAUUAGGGAUAAAACGAAAAAGAUAUGAAUUUUCUAAGAUUUCCUUUAAUAAAAUAAUUAAUUAAAUAGGAUCACGAAAAUAAAAAGUUGUAAACUUUUAAAAUAGUGAGACUAACAUGUAGAUCUUGUGAUUACGAAUCUAACGCAAUUUGAAUGGAUCAAAUCGGAGUUAAAAUGAAAAUUUUAUGAGCUAAACAAAUAUGGUGGCAAUUUUGUAAUUACUCAAAACGUAUUUUGAUUUACAAACCAAGGUAAACUAAUUGGAGCAGAGCACACGCCUGGCGGCCAGCCAUUGGCAGCAGCGAGCUCCUAGCCGGCGAGCAUGAAACUUAAGCCUACGGCCACGAUUUGAUGCGGGAAAACAAACUCACCAAUAGAGAUUUCGCAGAUAGGUACGAAGCGGAGAUGGAAAGCAGGGCGACGGGCGGAUCGACACCGGACUGAGGGCGAUCACGUUGUAGAGAAGAAAAGAUAAUUUUAUUUUACUACCUUAGGAAUUCUCAAAUUAGAGGCUUCCCUCAUGGUAGUCUUUGGUGUGCUUUGUCUAAGGGGUUGGUACACAUACAUAGGAAGAAAAACUCCCCACCUCCACGUCAACUAGCGAUAUGGUACUAAUUGAUUUGCACCCUUUAUCUUUACUAAUAGGCCUAAUUAAUAAUUAAAGCCCAUUAAUAAAUAAAGACAUGGGCCUUGAGCGUUGAGGAAAAUGAGAGAUUUAUUAUUUUCGGAAUUAAUUAAUUUCAUGGAUAAAAUAAUUCAGGAAAAAUCUAGAAUUAUUAUUUAAGCCACGAAAAAUACUCCGAAAGCUCCAAAAAUUCGAGGAAAAUUCUCAGAGACAUUAUGGAAUAUGAGGAACCCAAAUAAAGUAUUUGGAGCUCAUGAUGAGAUAAAUUGGAGCAUCUAAAAAUUAGAUUAUGCUCACAGAAGAGUGAGAACAAAUUUUAGAAAAAGCUUGAAAAAUUCCCAAUAAGAUUGUAGAUAUUGUUUGAUGAACGAGGAAGUGAGAUGUGUGAGUUGGAUGACAAAGAAAAGAUUUUAGGAAGCUCCUAAUAAAAACUUGAGCUGAGGAAUAAGGAAUUUGGUUGUAGAUAAAGAUAAAGAUGUACCGAUCAAGGAAGAUCGUUCUACUUAACGCAAUUUUAAAAGCUUUGCUUACUCUCAACACACAAAGGAGCAACAAUCAAACAUUACAUCAAAUUUUAUGCAACAGCAUGUAUGCACAACAAUGUUGCUAAGCCUUAAUGUAAAUUUUAAUUUAAUAAAAAUAUUAUUUUCCCUAUGUUUCAUGAGCACAAAGAAAUGUAUAAUUACUUAUUUGUCCUCUAUUUCCAAAAAAGCAAAAUUUAGGGUGUUACAGAGAGCGAAAGCUUUAGAGCACCCUAAAAAGUAGGGUCAAUUUAUCUUAGCAUCCAAUAGGGCGUGUGUGAGUUAGAUUAAAGUUUGUUUAAUUUUAAGUUUGCAUUUGUAAUAAUAAGCCCUACAUGACGAUGAAAUGAAAUAAUUAUUAUUAGAUAUGUCUUGUCUCUUUUGUCUCUACCAUGUUGUGAAUGAAGGAUAAUGAGGACCAGGCCUAAUUGUUGGCAUUUCUUAGUGUCACUACUAAAGAUAGACUAUAAAUCCAUCAUUAGCAAUGGCACCAGGAAUGUCGGGUGUUGGUAUACCAUAACUAUCGUUACGUCAGAGAGAUAACCCAAGGCCUUUAACGGCGCUGGCCUUAGCAGCGCAGUUUGGUAACAAUAAUUAGGAAUGCCGGAUUGGCCAUCCUAACCAUCCUUACGAUAUGCAAAGAUGUAGCACGGCGCUAGAUAAAUGCACAGAGUUUAAAAUCUUAAGUAACGGUACUUAGGUACGCCAAUCAAUAGUUCAUGAAUAUAAAGAAUAAAACUGCAAGCGAACAGAACUAUCAUUGUAGCAUUUCAACCCAUGAGUAUUCAGGGGUUAUCGUAUUUAAUCCCAUAGGAGGGCGUAACAAAUGCAUCUAGCUUGGUUUGUAGCAUGAUCACUUAUUGAGAUGCAUAGGUAGACAUAGUCUAAUCAGGGGUCAUGGCAGGCUCUUAAAAUAUGGAUAGUGGACACACUCAUCGGGGCAACCUCAAGGAAUAAAGAGAAAAUAAGGAAAUAAAAGAAAUAAAGAACAACUACUUGAGCGGCAUUGAUCAUAUAUAACUAUGCAAAGAAUUAUUAGUAGAACAUCUAAUCAAUAUAACUAGAGUUAGAACUAAGUCUGAGGCUCUAGGGAGAUCCCCGCAGCUGGACAUCCAGCCAAUAGAGACUUUACAGAACUCCUACCGGAAUACCUAAUCGUGGGGGAAUACCAGGGAUGAUAGGGCUAUCACUACCCUGCCACCUACCCCUCUACCCGAAGGAUACCCACGCAUCCGCUGAUCUCCGCAUACCCGAGCACCUCGCCCGUCUAAUUGGAAAUGCCUCCUAGCCUCCUGGGACCCCAACCCUUCGGAUUGACGGGCUCGGCUAAGAGUGGCCAUCACGGACCAAUGAACCAUUACCCUAAUCUUAAUCCUUUGUCUAUUCAUACUAAUACGAUGAACGAUGAAGAACAAGGAUGAACACAUCAAGAACAUAGCACAAGAACUAAGAACUAGUUCAUAUACUAUGAACAAGAUAUGAACACAACUAUACUCUAAUUCAAUUGCAUAAUCAUAUAAAUAAGAUAAGAACUUGCUCCUGAAUUGUAUUCAUACCAAAAUGCUCUAAGAUCCUCCAAGGAGACAAGCUCUCCUUGCUAGCUUUGCCUUACUCUAAUACUGAAUCUAAACUAAAGAACAAGUGUAGAAAUGUGAGGUGUAUUGCUCCAAAUGAUGGUGUGUGUGUGUUGAACGGUGUGGAGCCAUCUAUUUAUAGCCCAACAAGGAUGGUUCAUGGCGAUCUAAAUUUGGUAGGAGGUGAAACCGUCCUAUGCAUGCCACCAUGCAACCGCCUGAAAAAGGUGGGACCGAGUUGCCGCCACGGGGGGUGCGCCCGCACCAGGGUGCGGCCGCACCACUGGUGGGCCCACCUGUCCACCGCCUUCGCGUGGUCGGUUCGUCUCUGGGCCAUGAUCCUUCCUGUGGUUACGGAUGGAUCCAGUUUGGUGUUUUGGUGGGCUUUUCCAUUUAUCUUUGAUUUGCGCCUUUUCUGAAUACGCUUUCUUGAAGUGCGCUUUCUCGUGUCUUUUGUGCCUUUCCACGUGUCAUACCUGAAAUUGAUAUUUGCAACAAAACUUGUGGAAAGGUUAGUUCAAAGCCCUACCAUCUAUUUAUUUUAUUUAUUAAAAUGAUGUUUAUAAUUAUAAGAUAAAGGGGUACCAACAACUCCUCGACACUUGGUCCUUUGCUCGUCCUCGAGUGAAGGCACUAAAGACCAAAUGGGUUCAUCUUCCUUGUCAAAAGAAUCUGUAUACAGGUUAUUCCCAGCUUCACCUGGAUUUAUGAACUUCAAAGUGUCUACCAAGCUAUCUUGGGUAAUUGAAACAUGGAACAGCCUGGAUUCAAAUCCUCUUACAUAGUCCCUGCGCAGAAACUUGGGGUUUGCAAGAUUUUGAAAAAUAAAGAUAGCAUAUGUUUCUUGAAUGAUGCUCUCAAGUCCCUCCUAAUAUGUGAGUGGUUCCUUACCAAGGCAUAAAGAGUUUAUGCCUUCUUUUUGAUCAUCCUACUUCUAAAAGGCUUAUCUGGAGUUUUGGGUAGGUAUGAUGGUGGAACUUACUUACCCUGCAUAUGUUGUCGAGUCAAACCCAGGAACAUACCAGAGGGAGUGCGCCGUACCCUUAGAUAAGAAUGUGCAAGUGUGUGGAAUUUUUGGUGGAAUCCGAGCACUACUUUUAUUGCAACAUUCCUUGCAUCAACACUCUCUUUUGAAAUGAGAUGAAAAACUUGAGAGGAUAUGGGCUAUAACACAGUUUUUUAUAUUUUUUAUUUUUUUGGACGGGUAUGAAUCUUUCCCAGUUUUGCCCCUUUGGCUUUUUCUCAUAAUAAUUAUAUAUAUAGCCCAUUCCUAUGAUUCUGAUGAAAAUGAAAGAGAGCUUUAUGAUAACAAAUGCAAGGAAUGUAUAUGAAUGCACAAUUCUCAGGGUGAGAUAUUAGCAUUUUUAUUUGGUAGAUAUAUGUGCGCAACCCUCAGUGUAAGAGUUGGUGAAAUUUUGGGUGGAUGGAGAAAGCAUGUUGUGCGCGACUUUGUUGAUAUUUGGUAACACCAUCAGGAAAUGAUCCGCAAGCGCACGGAUAUCGGUGAGCAUUUCACCCGGGAGGUUAUCCGAAGUAUCGUAUUUAUAUUUUUACCACUGGGAGAAAGCGUGCAUCUGACUAACCAAAUCUAUUGCUACUACCCUUUAGGCUACAAAGAAUGUGACUCGAUGUGAGCGAUGUAUAGAGAAGACUACAAACGUAGUCUCGUUCUAACCUUGGUAAGGAUGAUCUACUGUUCUAUUGGGGAGGCUCACAGAAUCUAGACACCACAGAGGAUGUUCGACCCGCACCUAUAAACCCUACCCAUCCUGCUAACAAGAUGUGGGAUGCAAAGGUAACUCGGAAAUGUCACGUUCCUCGCUACUACCACGGUCCAGCUAGUCAGGGGAUAUCUAUGAGUACCCUAGCCCAAACACCACAUUUACGCUAGCAAUGAUUACUCUAAACUCAACCGGAAGAGAUUAAAGUAAACUCAUAAACCAAAGAACAAUAAAACAAGAAGUUACUAGAAUUUAGAAGUCGAAUUACUGAAGAAUCCUAGGAGCAAGCCUCGGGUUAGGAGAACUUGAUCCCGCAGGUACAACCUCGGAGUAGACACCGACAGGCCGGGCUUCCUCCGAUCUACACCUCCACUCUAUCUCUCUCAAUCUAGUAGAUCUAGUCUACUCUCACAUUGGAUGCUAAGCCCUAAGUCUAUAUAGAGGAAAGGUUAUCCUUUGAGGGCACCUCUCAACUCUCACAUUGGAUGCAUCUUUUUAUUAUUUGAGUAAAGUAUAAACGCGAGUAGAAACACUUAGCUGGAUAAAUGGGGGUGCUCUCCCCCAAGUUGGAUUUUGACGUAAUUUCUUCUGAUGUAGCUAGCAGGUGGCGGAGGUGUAUUUGAAUGUCGGCAGCACCCUGACAGCGAUUAGGAUGUCCUCCGUCUGCUAGUCUUCUUUGAUCCUCGAAUUCUGUGGAGCUCAAAUAGACAACAAAGCUUUGUGGAACUAGUUAAGUGUUAGCAUAAAUAUCUAGCCUUUAUCAUGUUGAGCCUCCUCAAUAAAUGUUACUCUCUUUAGUAGGAUCAUAAAUUUAUUUUUAUAUUUUUAUUUUUAUAGGACAAGAAUAUACUUAUUUUAUUUUUAUGCCACCACAGUGAAUGUACUUAUCGGUUUUAUGCUAUGAGCAUACUCACAUGGGGCUUACUAUUUUUUAACAUUUUUAUUUUCCUUUCGAGAUGAUAUGAACCUGAUUAACUAAGCAAACUAUUUUAAAUAAUUGAAGGAAAAAGGAUAACUACCAAGUUUAUCUCAUGGCAAGGCGCUCGGUGUUUUUAAGUCCUUCGAACGGGACUCUCCGUUUUCUCAGUCGUCCUAGAAUUCGCUAGAUGGCGUAGUCGGUGGUUCCGGCGUUGCCUUCUCUUCGUGCAUAACUAUCUUCUCUCUCCUCACCUGACUCAGUGCUACGGUCUCCUCUGGACAAUCCUGUUCGAAAUGUAUAUCUUUGGACCUUAUUACAUCUCCUUUGUAGUCUGCCCAUCUGUCCUUGAUGAUUUGCCUCCUCUGGUUUUGGUUGUGUCGCCUUCUUCUCAUCCUGAUCUGCUUAGAAUCUUCAACUAUAUAGUUAGGGUCACUAAAAUAGCGGCGUACCUUCUCAGAGGGAAAGUGCAUGUGGACUUCUCCAGUUCCAAUGUAGAUGAUUGCUUUAACGGUGCUGAGGAACGGUCUCUCAAGGAUGAUGGGUGGAUCAUACUCGUCUUCUCCCAUGUCAAUAACCUGGGUCGUUCUUUUUGGUCACAAACAGUGACUUAAGUCGAUGAUCUUGACCUCCUUGAACUGCAGUGACCAUCUUAGCUGACUCGGUCCACAUUUGCUUAUUCCUGUUCCUCCUGUUGGUCCUCUCCCUUGGUUCAUGUCGGGAUUGCUCUGAGAUUUGUGUAGUCUUGCUCUUGAAGGAAAGUCUCCUUCUUCCCCUUGAUGUAGAAACUGAUCUUGGCAGCACUAGCGUAGAUGACAGCUCUCGAGGUGUUCAGGAAUAGCCUCCUUGGACGCAGAGGAUCUUCAAUAUUCCCUUUGGGAAACUUAGUGUCCGAUCUGCAACCCUAGGCAUAAUGUUGACGCUAGAGCCAAAGUCGCAGAGUGCUUCUAGGAAGUCCACCAUGCCGAUGGAGAUCGGGAUGACGGGGCGUCCUGGAUCGCCUCUCUGAGUAGUUAGGCCUCUGUUGAUUCCAACCUUGAUUUUGUUGAGGACGGUUGUAGUAGUAGUAGUAGUACUUGUUGUUG
This 64553-nucleotide long non-coding RNA is filed under the name Sorghum bicolor (sorghum). RNAcentral describes it as "long non-coding RNA (SBIC_LNC000927)". The record is from RNAcentral. Lineage: Eukaryota; Viridiplantae; Streptophyta; Magnoliopsida; Poales; Poaceae.